GAUGUAAGAAAAAUUACCAACUUGACCCUUAGCCCGAGUAUCAUAUUUGGUUAUUUACUAAAAUCCCCCUUUGGAGGAGAAGGAUGGAUUGUUAGUGUGGAUGAUUUAGAAGAUAUAAUCAGAGGACAUGUAUGGUUAGGUUCCAUUUGUAUACUUGGUGGAAUCUGGCAUAUCUUAACCAAACCCUUCGCAUGGGCUCGACGCACACUUGUAUGGUCUGGAGAGGCUUACAAGGAUGGAUUCUUAUAAUUUAAUCCAUAACAAUUUUCGCAUUGAACCCACAAAUGCCUGUACUUUUGAGUUACCUCGAGAUCAUUAGAACUUUCUCUUAAACCCUCACAGGUACCCUAAGGCGAUGAGAGUUGAGACAAAAUAAAAUAGCCUCUUUGGUGAAAAGCCUCACGGACACCGUGAAGCGAAGGUAAGGCAAGAAGCAACACUCAUAAAGGGGUUGUUGGUGGAAAUCUGCUCAUGAACACUGUAAGUCAAGAAAAGCUAGGAUUUGGUUGAAGGAAUCGGGUUAGAAAUGGUUUCAACAACAAAAGCAUGGAAACAGAAGGUCGGUCAUUGGGACAGACUGGGUUGACUAGGCCGAAGUGCAUGUCAUGAUCAUGAAAAGCAUCUGUUCUUCCUCAGAUAAGUUUUCUUUCUCUUCUUUUCAACAGUCAAUGAAUCUGGAAUUCUUUACCCUAAAUACCGUUCGAGUCAUUGCAUUUUAUUUUUCUUUCGAGUCUCUAAAGUCUUUUGUUUAAGCAAACGAGAGGAAUUUCAAAGACUAUUAUUAGCUCCUGAAGGACCAAACGCAUGACACCCAAAAGUGUAACAAAGAUAAUGAAUGCGGAAUAGCAAGAGGAUGGAUUCAUAAAAACUGCAAUUGAUGGAAGAGACAAGAGUCGUCAAAGUGAAGGAGUACCACACAAAAACGGGCAUGCAAAGUAAAACCACAAAGGUUCUAGGGGUCAACCGAGCAUCAUAAAUGUACCGAGUAAUCUCAGGGAGAGGUGUAAGGAUUUUAGUGAAGGCUCGAAAAUGUAAACACCAAGAUGAGGAACAAAACAAAGCCUCAAGGGUCAGAGGCUCAGCCAAGCAUAAAACCCAAACUCAGUAGUCGUCGGAGAAGGGUAUAAGGCUUCUGGCAAAAGAGGCAAAAGCGCAACACAAAGAGGGAAAAGGUCAUGAGGGUUGACCUAACAUGAUAUAUCAACUCAUCAAUCGUCAGAAAGGGGCAUAAAUAAUUCUGGAAAAAGUGUCAGAAGUGCAACACAAAGUGGGGAGCAAAGUAAAGAGACAAAGGGAAAAGGUCAACCAAACAUCAUAGACAGACCGGGUGAUUUCAAGAAAUGGUGCAAAGAUUUUGGAAAAGGAGCAGAAAUGUAACACAAAGAUGAAGAACAAAGUGAAUCCACAAGUUUCAGAGGGUUGGACAAAGCAUAAUACAUUAAUUCAUCAAUCAUCGGGGUAAGACAUAAAGAAUUCCGACAAAGAAUUAUAAAUGUAAAACAAUGAUGGGGAGAAAGUAAAGCGUAAAGGUUUCGAGGGGUCAGCUGAGCAGUUCAAUGGAACACAACGGAACACGAUAGUGGGGAGGCCGUUUCUAACAAGAAUGCCACAAGCUAACCACCACUCUUCAAAUUGACUAGUUUUCUUUGAUUAACACAGGGGCAGAAAAUUCCAGAAGAGCCUAAGGGAGGCCGCCCACAGGAGAGGACAAGCACAUGGCAGGUAUGAUCAAAACCUCAAGGCCCAUCUGAAAAUGGGACCCAGUUCAAACUCAAAAAGAACAUAGUCCAUCAUAAAUAUCCUUCCCAGCAAAGAGCACAAUGGGACAAACAUUAAUUAGCAAACCCCAAUAGAAACAACCAAUGGUUAAAAGAGGUAUGGAAGUUGAGAUGGAACGCGGUUGUCAUAAGUAUCCUCCCUAGCAAAGAGCACAAGGGGAUAAACUUUAACCAGCAAACCCCAACAGGAACAAUUGAGGGUUAAAAGAAGCAUAGAAAUGGAGAUGGAACGCAGUUUAAAACUCAAACAGGUGCGGGUAACAUGGGCAAGCACCAACACCUUCCCCAGUAAGAGUCGCAGAAACCCUCCUGGACAAUAAUCACUAGCAGAAAGAACCAGAAGUUAGAAUUGGCAUUUAAGUUGGAACCUUCAGGACCCUCCAGGAAAAUGGGACUCAUUUAAAGGUUAGGGGUAAUCAUGGAUAGAAAUGGGCACAAAAUGACUUGCAUGUUGAAGUAGGAUUUAGCUAAGAGUUGUGAGGACCCUCCUGAAAAAUGGGACUUAGCCUAACAACAGAAACAGUCGGGUAACAUGGGCAGGCUCAAAUAUCUCCCAACAAGAGUCAACAAGAGUCGUCAGUACCCGUCUGGAUAAUGGAUUUAAUCGUAGGAGUUGUUAGGACCCCCUAGAUAAUGGAACGUAGCUCUAAAUACUGACCCCCAGCAGACACAGUUGGUCAUCUAAUUAAGAGUUGUUAGGACCCGCCUGGAUAAUGGAAAGUAGUUUUAAUCACCAGUCACCGGCAGACCCCCAGCAAAUAUAACUCAUAACAAGACACAGUAGAAAAUAAUACCUUCCGAGAGACAUAACAUAGUCUUAAAGUUGUCAUCAGAUAAGAAUUGUUAGGACCCUCCUGGAUAAUGGGACUUAGCUUAGAUUUAGAGAUGUUUGGUAAAGGUAUUCGAUUAACACUCACGGGUCUGCCCAGCACCAAACUGAGGCAGAAAGAAAUUUUUGCGUUUUGUUUGUCUUGUUAUGGUCAGGUACAUAGGCAAUCAGGCGUCCACAUGUAGAACAAGGGAAUAUUUUUCAAAAAUUUCAAGUUUUGGCAAUCAGGCGCCCACCUGUAGAAUAAGGGAAUAUUUUUUAAAUUUUCAAGUUUUGAUAAUCAGGAGCCCACCUGUAGAACAAAGGAAUAUUUCUCAAAAUUUCAAGUUUUGAUAAUCAGACAGCCACCUGUAGAACAAGGGAAUAUUUUUCAAAUUUUCAAGUUUUGAUAAUAAGGCGCCUACCUGGAGAACAAGGGAAUAUUUUUCAAAUUUCAAGUUUUGGUAAUCAGGCACCCACUUGGAACAAGGGAAUACCUUUCAAGAUUCAGAUCUGGUAAUCAAGCGCUCACCUGUAGAAUAAGGGAAUAUUUUUCAAAUUUCAAGUUUUGAUAGUCAGGCGCCCACCUUUAGAACAAGGGAAUAAAAGUUUCAAGUUUUCAUAAUCAGGAGCCCACCUGUAGAACAAGGGAAUAUUUUUCAAAACUUCAAGUUUUGAUAAUCAGGCGCCCACCUGGAGAACGAAGCAAUAUUUUUCAAAUUUCAAGUUUUGGUAAUCAGGCGCCCACCUGUAGAAUAACGGAAUAUUUUUCAAAUUUCAAGUUUUGGUAAUCAGGCGUUCACAUGUAGAACAAGGAAAUAUUUUUCAAAUUUCAAGUUUUGGCGAUCAGGCGCCCACCUGUCAGAAUAAGGGAAUACUUUCAAAUUUCAAGUUUUGGUAAUCAGUCGCCCACCUGUAGAACAAGAGAAUAUUUUUCAAAAUUUCAAGUUUUGGCAAUCAGGCGCCCAUCUGUAGAAAAAGGGAAUAUUUUUUCAAAAUUUCAAGCUUUGAUAACCAGGCGCCCACCUGUUGAACAAGAGAAUAUUUCAAAAUUUCAAGUUUUAGUAAUCAGGCGUCCACCUGUAGAACAAGGGAAUAUUUUUUAAAAUUUCAAGUUUUGAUAAUCAGGCGCCCACCUGUAGAACAAGGAAAUAUUUUUCAAAGAUGCAAGUCUUGGCGAUCAGGCGCCCACCUGUAGAACAAGGGAAUAUUUUUCAAAAUAUCAAGCUUUGAUAAUCAAGAGUCCAUCUGUAGAACAAGGGAAUACAUGUCAAGUCCAACAAUUCGGGAACAAACAUAGAAGAAAAGAAGGCAAGGAGUCAAUAAGGCGACAAUGAGUUUACAGGAAGGAAUGCUAGUCAACAAGGCAGCAACGAGUUCAUAGAAAGAAAUACAAGGCAACAAAGCAACAAGGAUCAAAAGAAGAUUGAAGACAUAGAUAUGUUCUUUUGUAAUCUGUAGUUCAUAGCUUAGUCUAGUUCUUCUUAUUUUUCACGAGGUGUAAUAAGGAGGUCGCAAGCAGUAACAGCAGCACAAGUAGUGAAAUCAUAGCUCGUGGUAGUCCCAGCUACCAAACACUGCAGAAGAACACUAACCUGAUUCCUUUAUAGCCAAGGAUAUGUAGGCAACUUUUGAAGCAAGGUUCGGUCAGACAGUUUUCAAAAUGCUUCUCAUGGAAUUCAAAGUAGGAAAAAAUCUCUCAGUUGCUCAUUUAUUUUUGCCCAGAAAUCUUUCGUGUCUCCGAACAAAUAGGGGUAGCUGUGAGCAUGUGAUUUUUGCCUCGCUUGGCAUGUUCCUAUAAAAUUCAUUAAGUUAGGAUUUUCUAUUAUUAAUUAAAAGUUUUGUGUGAUUUUGUGUUUAUUUGCACUUUUUUAUUAUUUGAAUUUUUAGGAAUUAAUUGUGUGACUUGGUUUAUUUGCGUCUUUCUUUUAUUAUUUUAAUUUUUAGGAUUUAUUUGCGUGAUUUUGUGAUUGUUUGAAUUUUAAGAAUUAAUUGUAUAAUUUUAUGUUUAUUUGCAUGUUGCACGUUUUAAUUUACAUAAUUCAUAAAAAAUAUAAAAAAUGGCAUGCUUGCAUCUAGGAUUUAAAUUUUACAUUUUUUAGGUUAUUAAUUAGUUAAUAUUGAAAAUGAGGAAAAAAUAACAAAAAUUGGUUAAUUUUCUUUGAAAUUUAGAAUUUAGGAGUUUAUUUAGUCAAUUUCUUGUUAAAUAUGUUUUUGGCUAUUUUUAUUUUUAUUUUUACUUUUUUAUUAAAAAUCUGAAAAAAAAAUAAUGAAACAAAAAUAUAUAAAAAGAGAAUCAUUGAUUGCAUACUAAUAUGGGUCUUUAAGAGAGAAAAUUUGGCCCAAACCUCCCAGUCUAGCAGACCCAGCCCAAUCCCCCCCCCNNNNNNNNNNNNNNNNNNNNNNNNNNNNNNNNNNNNNNNNNNNNNNNNNNNNNNNNNNNNNNNNNNNNNNNNNNNNNNNNNNNNNNNNNNNNNNNNNNNNNNNNNNNNNNNNNNNNNNNNNNNNNNNNNNNNNNNNNNNNNNNNNNNNNNNNNNNNNNNNNNNNNNNNNNNNNNNNNNNNNNNNNNNNNNNNNNNNNNNNNNNNNNNNNNNNNNNNNNNNNNNNNNNNNNNNNNNNNNNNNNNNNNNNNNNNNNNNNNNNNNNNNNNNNNNNNNNNNNNNNNNNNNNNNNNNNNNNNNNNNNNNNNNNNNNNNNNNNNNNNNNNNNNNNNNNNNNNNNNNNNNNNNNNNNNNNNNNNNNNNNNNNNNNNNNNNNNNNNNNNNNNNNNNNNNNNNNNNNNNNNNNNNNNNNNNNNNNNNNNNNCCCCCCCCCCCCCUCAACCCAGUCCAGCCCCGGAGACGCCUAAACGACGUCGUAUCUCCCAAAGUGAUCUCAACCGUCAAGGUUGAUCGAUCCAACGAAUGAGAACUAGACUGACUCUAAUAUAAAAUUAUCUAAAAACCCCCCACCCACCCCUCCAAACCAUCUACCAUAUACCCCAAUUACGAUAGUAUAUCACCACCAUUCGCCGCCUUCCUGCCACAAUCCGACGCCGGCCGGAUAUCGUCGGCAACGGCGAUACUCUAAACGACCUCAAAUUCACACCACAGCUUCCCUGCCACCCCCUCUUCCCAAAUCCCAACUUUGCUUCUCUCGAAUUUCUGCCGAGCUCUUCGAAUAUAUGAUUAUGUGGUCACAGUUUCCACCACCCAUGGCGGCGUUAUUCCCAAACCCUCCCAGAUUUAUAUCCAUGCACCCUCGUGACCUCUCCUUCCUAGUCCUAUAAUUUUUUGGGUUCGAAUCAUACCACAUCUCCUCAAAUUUUAGUUUGAACCGUCCAGCCAAAAUACAACCCUUCCCAAAAUCCGCCAAAUUAACACCAUAGACUCUCCUCACACCCCUCAUCUUGAAUCCACAACCCUCAGUCCUCGAAUCCUUCCCGAUAAGGUCAAACUUCAAAUCAAAAAAUUGGACCUAGAACCCUAGUUGUUCAAGCUUUGGGAUAUCCUUGAUUUUGGGCUUUAAUAUCCCUUAGUCUUGUGUUUUCCAGUGGAAAACACACGAUUAAGGACGGUUUGACCCCGAAAAUGCCGAGAAAUUCGUCGGUGUUUGAGCCUGAAUCAGAGUCCGAGGUAUUUUGCUUUUACUUUUUAUUUCCUUUUAUGAUUCCUAUUUUCGUUUCGUUGUUUUGUUCCAUUGUUAUUUUUGUGAUUAGUUUAGGACUUCACUUCAAUUUUUUGUUUCUUUUUCCUACCAUAAAGUUUAUAUUUAUUAGUAAUGCGAAUAGGUUCGAUUUGAUUCCAUGUAUUGUUGGGUUUGUUUAUUCUGCAUAAUGAGUUCUAGUUGUUCUUCUUGUUGGCUGGUUUAAUUUUAGUUCUUUGAUACAAUUAAAUUCAUUAGAGGUUAAUCUCCAUUUGUUUAGCUAGGGUAGUUAGAUUGAAUGUUGGUUACAGCUGGGAAAUUUCUAGGUCAUGAGCUAAUUGACCAUGGUUAGCUGACUAGCGUAAGAGGGAGCUGAAAAUGCAACUAUGUCAUUUAGGUAAUUCUUGGAAGAGGUAGGGGUAAUAUAAGUAAUCCAGCUUGAGGAGCAUGUAGUCACUAUCCUUAGAAACUUCUAGAAUAUGGGUCAAAUUGAAAUUCAGACCUUUUGUUUUGUUAUAACUUGGGUAGCAAGCUAGAAAAUAAGGGACUAAGGUAGUAAAUCUGAAAAUGGGACAAGGAAUAGAGGCCAACUUAAACAAUCUGAAGUGAGCCCUAAUAGUUGGCAUAUAAGGCAUCAAUCUUUCUUAGGAGAGGGGAUUUUUUAAAAGGAACUUACUGAAAAUCUGAGAGUGAAACAAAAAAAAAAGCCGAAAACUCCAAAUAUACAGGCUGAAAAAACCCCAAAAUAUAGAAGUUUGAUUAGAGAGUUUAAAAAUCCAGAAAAAUGCUACUGUUUCAUUGAAUGAUCUCCGAAAUUCUUGUGGGAUCUACUCUAUAACAAAUUUUAAGCAAGCUGAUAGCUAAAAUGAGCUGAGAUAGGUGGUAUCCAAGUGUUGGGAUCAUUUUGGUCGAAAUCCGAUUUGGUGCUUUGAGUGACCUUGUGUGAAUUUGAAAUUGUUCAAAGUAGUGUCCGAUAGCUAUUCCAGGGUUGGUUUUGCUGUUGGAUUGCUCCUGUUGCUGCUCUUCUACUGUUUCCUUAUUUCUCUGCCUUCUUUUGCUAUUUUCAGGUAUAUUCCAGCCCCUUGGAGCCCAUUUAAGCAUGUAAAUUGAAGUAGUGAUUUGAGGAACAAAUGUAUACAUUAUUAUUGUUGUGUCUCAUUUCAUUUUAUAGCUCUUGAAGUUGAAUUCAUGAAAUUUCUAAAGUAAGUUGUAUUUGGUUGGAUUGUGCAGUCAUGUAAUAGCUUCCCUUCUGAUACCACCAAUCAGACGGUACAGUAGUGUAGAUUUGGGUUAUGUGUAUACUAUUUAUUUGAGUCGCCUUAUUCCAUUGAGUUUAGUCUUGUUAUAGUUGUAGUUUGAUCCUUGGCAUCGCUAUAAUUUAAUCGUGGUUACAAUUUCGGACUUCAUGUGCUGAAUGCAUCUUCCAGGAAGUUAUGAUGUUAGAUUAGUUUAAACAAAUCCAUAUUAGUCUUAAAUUUGUUGUACGUUUGAGUUUCAGUUGCUUGUUUUCUUCUGGAUGAUGGAUCUACUGAGUUGGGCUUCACUUAGGAGCCCAACUAUUUUCAUAUGUGAGAUUUCUCGUGAUGACUGUUAGCGUGUCCUCGUGAGUCUGGGCCUAAUUGGAGAACUUUCCUUCAAAUGUAACUAAGACUCAAUCUAAUAGGUCGGGCCAUUGUCUUCCUUGCAUUGGAAGAAUUAAUAGAUAACAAACUGAUAUGGCACUCCAGGCAUUUUAUUUUAAGUGUCCAUUAAAAUGGACUCCAGGUGUGCCGCGCCAAUUAAAAAUCACAAAUGCGUGGCCUACUCUAGUUAUGGCUUUAAAAAUAAUUAGAGAUUCAGGACACGCCAUUUAGCGAAUUUCACGGCUUUCCCGCAAAGAUAAUAAUAUGUUAGUCGCUUUUAGGCGCGUCUUUAACAAUUUUAUCUUCUUAAGUCCGGAUGCGCAUUUAUGUGACCCAAAUCCAAAUCUCAACGAAGUUGAAAUGUGUCUAAAACCGCGGGUGCAUUUAUGUGAUGUGGCUCGAGACACGUUUUAACGACGUUGUAAUCCUCUUUAAAAUAAUAAUAAUAAUAAUAAUAAUAAUAAAGUGGUCAAAAUAUUUAAAAUGCACAUAGGUUCAUAAUUGUGUAAAAUCAUAUGGUUGAAGCCAAAUAUAACAGUUGAGCAACCAUGCAAGAACCAUGGAACCCGGGAAUGCCUAACCCCUUCUCCCGGGUUAAUAGAAUUCCUUACCCGGAUUUCUGGUUUGCAGACUAUUAAACAAAGUCAUUUUUUCCUCGAUUCGAGAUUCUAAAACUUGGGACACCAUAAAUCUCCCAAGUGGCGACUCUGAAAUUCUCUUAAAUAACUGAAUCCAUUUCGAUUAUCCUGUAACUAAAAAACUCCCUUAUCUACGCCCUUCACUGGGUUGUAGUAGCCAAAAGGAGGUGUGACACUUAUCGCUUCUGCGGUUUCUCAUCAAUGACACAGGGCCACAUCUGUGGCAAAAUUCUCGUAGGUGCGUAACCGCAUCUGCAGUUAAUCUUCCGCACCUACGGAAAAGCUGAGGGAGCCCAAAUUCCGCUCCUGUGAUAGGAUAGCUGCUUAUGCGGCUCCGCUUCUGCGGUACCCAAGCCGCAGAAGUGAAAAUACCAUAAGAGAAGAAUCAGUUGCUGCAACACUUAAAAAAUUUCUCCGUUAACCACCUGAAAUCAUCUCGAGGCCCCUGAGACUUCAACCAAAAGCAUCAAUAACACCAAAUACCCUAUUCGAACUUGUACAAAUCCUUAAACACCUAAAAUAACACCGGAAAUUCGAUUUAAUCAAUUAUUUAAGCCUAAGAACUUCAAAUUUCAUCAAAAUACACUUUCGAUCAAAAUCCUAACCAAAACACGCCCGAAUGACCUGAAAUUUUGCACACACAUCCCAAAUGACAUGAUUGUGCUACUACAACUUUCGGAAUUCCAAUCUGACCCUCGGAUCAAAAACUCACUAUCGGACCGGAAACUUCAAAAAUUCAAACUUUGGCAUUUCAAGCCUAAAUAAGGUAAGGCAAGCUCGUAAGCAACCUCCCCAACUCGCCUCAAAAUCUCAAAAGGGCAAAUAACUCUCUGGAUCAACUUCCCUUUCUUCCCAAACCUCAUGACGCCUUUCAUAGGCGAGACCCGAAGUAGGACCCGCUCACCAACCAUAUGGUAAACAUCACGAACCUUCCGAUCUGCGUAAAUCUUCUGUCGGGACUGGGCUGUAUGGAGUCUGUCCUGAAUCACCUUAACCUUCUCCACCGCAUUCUAGACCAAAUCAGUGCCCAAUAGCCUGGCCUCACCCGGCUCAAACCAACCCACCGGGAUCUGCAUCUCUUACCAUAUAAAGCCUCAUACGACGCUAUCUGAAUUCUAGACUGAUAAAUGUUGUUGUAAGCAAACUCCGCCAGUGGCAAGAACUGAUCCCAAGACCCUCCAAAAUCAAUCACACACGCACGUUGCAUAUUCUCAUAAAUCUAAAUGGUGGCUCGAACUAUCCGUCCGUCUGGGGGUGAAAUGAUGUGCUCAUCGCCACCUAAGUACGCUACUCCUAUUGAACGACUCUCCAGAACCGUGAUGUGAACUGAGUAAUUCCGUCUGAAAUGAUAGAAACUGGAAUACCAUGUAGACAAACAAUCUCCCAGAUAUAAAUCUAUGUCAAUCGCUCCAAUGAAUAAGUAGUACACAUAGGGAUAAAAUGUGCGAACUUGGUUAGCUGGUCCACAAUCACCCAAAUGGCAUCAAACUUCUUCACUGUCCGAGGGAGACCAACUACAAAAUCCAUGGUGAUCCUCUCCCAUUUCCACUCCGGAAUCUCUAUCUGCUGAAGGAACCCACCUGGUCUCUCGUGCUCAUACUUCACCUGCUGACGGUUGAGGCAUCUAGCUACAUAUCCAACUAUAUCCUUCUUCAUCCGCCUCCACCAAUAGUGUUGUUUCAGGUCUUGAUACAUCUUCAUGGCACCAGGGUGGAUGGAAUACCACGAACUAUGGGCCUCUGCUAGAAUCAACUCCCGUAGCCCAUCAACAUUGGGCACACAAACACGGCCCAACAUCCUCAACACCCCAUCAUCUCCAACGGUCACCUCUCUGGCAUCGACAUGCUGAACCGUGUCCCUCCAAUGGUCACCUCUCGGCAUCGCCAUGCUGAACCGUGUCCUUAAGGAUAAAUAAAUGAGGGUCAUUAUACUGUCGCUCCCUAAUACGAUCGAACAAUGAAGACCGAGAAACCACGCAGGCUAGAACCCGACUGGGCUCCAAAAGAUCCAAUCUCACAAACUGACUAGCUAAGGCCUGAAAAUCCAUCUCCAUAGAUCUCUCUGAAGCUGGUAAAUAAGAAAAAACUCCCCAAAAUCUCCGCCCGACGACUCAAGGCAUCUGCUACCACAUUGGCCUUGCCCGAGUGAUAUAGAAUAGUGAUAUCAUAGUCCUUUAGCAACUCUAACCACCUCCUCUUGCACAAAUUUAGACCCUUCUGCUUGAACAAAUGCUGCAAACUUCUAUGAUCAGUAUAAAUCUCACAAGGCAGACCGUACAAAUAAUGACACCAAAUAUUCAAGGCAUGAACAAUAGCAGCUAACUCAGGGUCGUGGACGGGGUAAUUCUUCUCAUGUAACUUAAACUAUCUGGACGCGUAGGCAGUCACCCUACCGUCCUGUAUAACCACUAAUCAAAGGCCAACCCAUGAGGCAUCACAAUAGACUGUAUAAGAUCACGAACCAGUAGGCAAUAUCAGAAUAUGGGCUGUAAUCAAAGCCGGUUUGAGCUUCUGAAAGCUUGCCUCACACUCCCAUGUUCGAUAAAAUAGAGCACCCUUAUAGGUCAAUCUAGUCAUAAGGGCUGCAAUCGAUGAAAACCCCUCCAUAAAACGACGGUAAUAACCCAACAAGCCAAGGAAACUGUGAAUCUUUGUGGCUGAGGAUGGCCUGGGCGACCUCUCCACGGCCUCUAUCUUCCUAGAAUCUACCUGAAUACCCUCACUCAAAACCACAUGGCCGAAGAAUGCCACUGAAUCCAACCAAAACUCACAUUUUGAGAACUUCGCAUAUAACUUCUUCUCCAAAAAACUGUGAAUCUAUGUAGCUGAGGAGGGCCUGGGCCAACUCUUCACGGCCUCUAUCUUCCUUGAAUCUACCCAAAUGCCCUCGCUUGAAACCACAUGGCCUAAAAAUGCCAUUGAAUCCAACCAAAACUCACAUUUUGAGAACCUCGCAUAUAACUUCUUCUCCCUUGGGGUCUGAAGCACGGCCCUCAGGUGCUGCUCAUGAUCUUCCUGACUUCGGGAAUACACCAUAAUAUCAUCAAUAAAAACAAUAACGAAUGAGUCGAGAUAUGGCCUGAAUAUAUUGUGCAUCAAAUGCAUAAAAGCUGCUGAGGCAUUGGUCAGCACAAAUAACAUAACAAGGAACUCGUAAUGACCAUACCGAGUCCAAAAGGCAAUCUUCGGGAUAUCUGGCUCCCGAAUAUUCAAUUGAUGGUAACAUGAGCGCAAGUCAAUCUUAGAAAACACAUUUGCGCCCUGAAGCUGGUCAAACAGAUCAUCAACACAAGGCAAAGGAUAAUGGUUCUUCACGGUAACCUUGUUCAACUGGCGAUAAUCAAAACACACAUGCAUUGAACCAUCCUUCUUCUUCACAAACAAGACAGGACACCCCACAGUGAAACACUGGGUGGAAUAAAACCUUCGUCAAGCAAUUUCUGUAACUGAUCCUUCAAAUCCUUCAACUCAGGAGGAUCUAUACGAUAUAGAGGAAUGGAAAUGGGCUGAGUGCCCGGCAAUAGAUCAAUGCCAAAAUCAAUGUCUCUAUCAGGCGGCAUGCCCUAAAGAUCAGCUGGAAAUACAUCGAGAUAAUCCCAUACCACUGGGACAGAAUCAACAUAAGGGGUAUCCAUACUGACAUCUCUCACAUAGGCUAAAUACGCUGCUCACCCCUUCUCAACCAUACGCUGAGCUUUAAGGAAAGAGAAAACUCUACUGGGAGUGUGAUCUAAAGUACCACUCCACUCAAUAUGCUGAAUACCUGGCAUAGCCAGCAUCACGAUCUUGGCGUGACAAUCAAGAAUAGCAUAAUGGGGCAACAACCAGUCCAUGAACAAGAUAAUAUCAAAAUCAACCAUGUUGAGUAACAAUAAAUCUGCCCUAGUCUCAAAACCAUGAACAGUAACCAAACACGACCAAUAAACGCGGUCCACAACAAGAGAAUCUCCCACAAUAGUAGAAACAUAAACAAGGGCACUCAAAGAAUCCCGAGGUACACCCAAAUGCGGAGCAAAGUAAGAAGACACAUAAGAAAUAAGUAGAGCCCGGAUCGAAUAGAACUGAUGCCUCUCUAUAGCAAGCCAAUAUAAUACCUGUGAUAUAGAAUCGGAGGCAACAGCCUCGGCACGAGCAAGAAGGGCAUAAUAUCUGGCCUGGCCUUCCCCUCCCCCCUCCCCCGAGGGCAACCUCUACCUCCUCGGCCUCCACCUCUAGCUGGCUACGGGUGGGGCGGCAACUGGGGUUGUAACCAUAGCCUGAGAUCUCUGCGGGGCAUGUUGUGGCUGAGCAGUCUGUGAAGAUGCACCCUUACCAAGUCUGGGGCAGUCCCAAACGACAUGGCGUGUAUCACCACACUCUAAAAAAUCUCUGGGAGGACGCGGUGGUUGUGAAUGACUAGGGCUAGGUCUGUUGGACUGACCCAUGGAAACACCCCGUGCAGGAGGCUCGCUAGAACCCAGAGGUGCAUAAUAAGGCUCAUGAGGCACAGGCGGAGCUGGAGCACUGCUGGAUGCCGGAAGAGAUGAAUGAACGGGGCGACCCACAAAACCCCUACCAUGUCGACCUGUUGCUGGGGUACAGGUACCAAAAUAGUGGACCGACUCCCGAGACCUCUUGGCCUCUCUCUCCUCUCGCCCCCUAGCGUGCAUACUCUCAAUCCUUAUAGCAAUGCUCACUACCUGCUGAUAAGGAAUGUCCAUCUCCAACUCUCGAGCAAUGCUAGAUCUAAUAGGUGGGAUAAGACCCUCAAUGAACCUACAAACUCUCUCACGGACUAUAGCAACCAAAGCCGGUACAGGCCUGGCCAAUUUGGUAUACAGAUAGUAUACUCCAAAACCGUCAUAUCACCCUGGUGCAAAUGCUCAAACUCGGCGCCCAUGCGUUCUUGAGACUCUGGGGGACAAACUCUCUCAUAAACAUAUCCAAGAACUAGGUCCAAGUCAGUGAAGCAGCCUCGACUGAACUGUCAAUAUCAUAAGUGCGCCACCAAUCAUAGGCGGCUCCCCGAAGCUGAAAGGUAGUAAAGGAAACCCCGCUGGACUCUACUAUGCCCAUAAUGUGAAGAAUACGGUGGCACUCCUCUAGAAAUACCAAGGCAUCAUCUGUCGAUAGUCCACUGAAACCAGAGGAUCAUACUUCUUGAACCUCUCCAACCUCCACUACUCAUCCUCAGAAGCAGUUGCCCCAUCCACGGGCUGAACUAGCACUGCGGGCGGAACAAGAAUGAUCUCUAGAUCCUGCUCAACCUGCACUUGCUGCUCAUGAGUGCGGAUGGUGGGAGUCUGUGCUCCUCCCCUGGUCUGGGAUGUGGCUGCACUAAGGGAAAGCAACCCUACAUGAGCCAAGGUGGUGUACAUAGACAUGAGCUGAGCCAACGUCUCCUGAAGGGCUGGAGUAGUAGUGGCAGUAGUAGGCAUGCCAGGUGCCUGGGCUCCGGCUGGACCUGCUAGUAGUGCCUCGGCGGUAGCUCGCGUAGGUGCUCUAGCUGCACCACGUGCGAGUCCUCGACCUCUGCCCCGGCCCCAGCCUCGGACAGCUGUAAUAGGGGCGCGAGUGCCCGAUCAUCUCGAAAAGUGUGUGUCCUCAUCAUCUGUGAGAGAAUAAAAGACAGAAGUUUAGAUCCAAUGUCAAAAAAUAUUGCACGACAAGGAAAUAAUUGAAGCAAAGAUUCUUCCUGAACAGUUACAUAGCCUUUCAUAGAUAAGUACAUACGUCUCGGUACCGAUCAGCGAGACUCUAAUAAACUGACAUGUGUUCCGUGACUCCAAUAAACCUAGAGCUCUAAUACCAGCUUGUCACGAUCCAAGUUCACCCUCCAUGAACCUGUCGUGAUGGCACAUAGUUCCUACAACUAGGUAAGCCUAACAAUGCGGAAACUUAAUAUAACUUGUGGAAACAUUUAAUUAAAGUAAGCAAAAACUAGAAGAAAAACGAUAUAUAAAUGCCACUUGGCAUAUACAACUCCAAAAUAAAUGCGGAAGUCUACAACUCAAUCCCAAAACCCGAAAUCUCACGGGAACCACAUGAUAAUAGAAAAGUAACAUACUGUUCUAACUCCAGAAUGUCUAAACAACUGAAAUAAAAGGAAGGAAUAACUACUAAAGCUGGAACAGAAUAGAGACUCCUAGUCAACGGACGCAGCAGAUAUACUUCAAAGUCUCCUCUAGAUCUCUUCGCCUCGAUGGUAGUAUGCCUGAGUGGAGGUACCUAGAUCUGCACAUGAAAAACAUGCGCAAAAUGGGCAUGAGUACACCACACGGUACUCAGUAAGUGUCAAGCCUAACCUUGGUCGGGUAAUGACAAGAAAGGUCAGGGCCUUACUGAGAUUAAACAAUAUAAUAAAAAUCCUGACAACAGUAUACAGUAAGCAGAAACAAUGGAAUACAACUGUGAAGUAAGUCAGGUUACACAACAACAAUCAACACACAGAGGAUAAAAUAACACAGAGUACAACAACUCAAUAUCAACACCAAUUACGAGGAUCUUCCAAGAUAUCGUCAUGUAGUCCAUUUCCAUGGCAAUACCAACAAUGAGGAUUUUCUCAGGAUACCGUCAUGUAGUCCAUUUCCAUAUCAAUACUAAUAACGAGGAUCUCCAAGGAUAUCGUCAUGUAGUCCAUUUCCAUAUCAACCAAUAACGAGGAUCUUCCAGGAUACCGUCCUAUAGUCCAUAAUAUAAAUGUGUAGGGAGAUCUCCCAGGAAUCUAACCCGUAGUCCCAAAGUAAAUAUGCAGGAGGAUCUCCCGGGAAUCUAACCCGUAGUCCCAAAGUAAAUAUGCAGGGGGACCUCCCAGGAAUCUAACCCGUAUUCCCAAAGUAAAUAUGCACACACAAUCAGAGAAUAUUCAUAAAUGAAGUACAAAAAUACAAGCAACAGAUAGUUGUAGCCUAACAUAUCUCACGUAGUGCAGCUAAGGCAAUUUAAGCAAGUAGGCAAGUUAAAUCAACCAAACACGUCUUUCUAAUCUAACACGGGUUAUAAUUACAAGUAAGAUAAGUAAGUACGAAAGAAACUUAGUCUCAAUAUCCUAAGUAAAAACCGAAUUUUCAAUAGCUUAAACACACGCUCGUCACCUCACGUACAAAGCACUCAAUUACCAAAUAACAUAUCCUAGGGGAAAGGUCCCCCACACAAGGUUAGAAAGCCACUUACCUUGAACAAGUGCAAGUCAAUCCGAAAUCAUGUUCUUGCCACGAGUAUCCGACUCCAAGUGGUCCAAAUCUAUUCAAUUCAAUUACAUAUCGUAAAUAACAUUGCAAACAACUAAUUCCAUUAUUAAAUUUAAAGCUAAGACGCAAAAAUAGUUAAAAUGAUCAAAACGCCCCUUAGGACAAUGUCUCGAAGUCGGUUAAUUUUUAUAUUUUCAAAACCCUCGUACUCUCACAAGUAUAACCAUAUAAAAAUCUUCCAACUUGGAGGUCAAAUGCUCACUCAAAACCCAAUAGUUUGUUCUAAGAAGUUUCACCCAAUUUUUCCAACUUUUGAUCCCAAAUUCAAAUUUUAAUGGUGGAUUUAACUACAAAUAAUGAAAUAUAACUAGAAAAGAUUAAAGAAACAUUACCCAAUAGUCUUCUCUUCAAAACCCUCUGAAAAUCGCUCUUCCCCGAGCUCAAUUUGAUUUUUCUAACUUAUGAAAUCAACCCUCGAAAUUUCUAUAUCUGCAUAGGCAUUUUUGCUUCUGCGAAUAAGGGACCGCAUCUGCGGUCCCACUUCUGCGGAACAAAUGCCGCUUCUGCGGCUAUUCACAAGACUCCAGGGUUCCGCUUUUGUGGCCUUAAACCGCACCUGCGGUUGCCGCUUAUGCAAAAUACUUACCGCUUCUGCGAUUUCUCACCAAUGACCCAGGGUCGCAUCUGUGGUAAAAUUCUCGCUGGUUUGUAACCGCAUCUGCGGUUAAUCUUCCGCACCUGCAGAAAAACUGAGAGACCCUAAAUUCCGCUCCUGCGAUGGGAUGGCCGCAUAUGUGGCUUCGCUUAUGCGGUUCCCAAGCCGCAGAAGAGAAGAAUCAGCUACUGUAACACUUCAAAAUUUCUCCGUUAAUCACCUGAAAUCAUCCCGAGGCUCCCCGGACUUCAACCAAAAGCACCAAUAACACCAAAUACCCGAUUCGAACUUGUACCAAUCCUUAAACACCUAAAAAAACACCAGAAAUCUGAUUUUAUCAAUGAUUUAAGCCUAAAAACUUCAAAUUUCAUCAAUAUACACUUUCGAUGAAAAACCUAACUAUAACACGUCCGAAUGACCUGAAAUUUUGCACGCACGUCCCGAAUGACAUGACAUAGCUAUUGCAACUUCUGAAAUUUCAAUCCAGCCCUCGGAUCAAAAACUCACUAUCGCACUAGAAACUUCAAAAUUCAAACUUCGGCAUUUCAAGCCUAAAUGAGCUACGGACUUCCAAAAUACAUUCCGAAUACGCUCCCAACCCUGAAAUCAUCUAACGGGCUAGUGGAACCAUCGGUUUUCCAUUCCAAGGCCAUCUUCACACUGUUCCGACUACGGACCACUUUCCAACACUUAAGCUCUCUUUUAAAGACUAAGUGUCCCAAAACUCUCUGAAACCCAAUACCGAACGACCCGAUAGACCAAAAUAGCAGAAAUGAACUUAAGGGAGGCAGUUAAUAGGAAUCGGGACGUAAAUUCCAAAAACGACUGACCGAAUCGUUGCAGUAAUUGACCCAAUACAUAAUACAUCUCAUGCUUUAAUAAAGUAAUCGUUGAACCUACAGAUUCAGUAAUUGCGUAAAUUGUCACCAUUGCUAUAAUGUGAAAAAUAGGGAUAUUGAGUAGAUGAAAUAGGAAAUUAAAAAUGAUUUGAAAUAAUAAAACGCAUAAUCAAUCAAUUAUAGUAUAAAAUAGGGAGUUUUGUUGGACACCCACGUUUGGAAGCACGAUCAGGCCAUUUUCUUUCUUACAAAAAUAAUUUGCAAAUUUCAGUAUAGUAAUCUAUUAAAAACGACCAACAAAAAAGUAGGAGGAAUUUUGUUUUUUUGUAAUUGCAAGUAUAAUUAAUAAAAUUUCCAUGUAAAAUCAGUUCUUUUUUAAAUAAAAAUUAAAACUUGUCCUUUAAUUAUCCCAUUUAAAAUCAAUUUUUUGAAAAAAAACAAUUAAUAAUUCUGAAAAAGAAAGUGUCCUUUACAUUUUGUUAAAUAAAUUUGAAAGUGUAACAAAGUUGAAACAUUGUCUAAAAAAAUUAUACGUGUCAAUUUAAUGUUAUGUCAUUUGUUAGAAAAUUUCAUGUUUAGAAAAAAAAAGGCCCAAAAAACGUGGGUCAAUCUUCAUAUAUUAACUGAAUAGGAGAAAUUCUUUUUUUUUUUUAAUUAGUUUAAUAAAUAACUUAAAUUAACUGCUAAAAAUGUAGGAUUUCAUGUUCUAGUUAAUUGCCGAAGGUUUACAAAAUAUUACCAACAACUUUUCUAUGUUAGUUUUUUUAAUUUUCAGGUUUAAUAAAUAAUUUAAAUUAACUGUCAAAACGUGUUUUGCGUGUAAUAUUUUAACAUUAAAACAUGGGAUCCAUGAUGUUCAAUAACUAAAUUGGCUAGUUAUUCAGAUUUUGUAUUUUUUCUUUUUAAAUUUUUUUUAAUCUUCAAAUCUUUUGGAGUUAUGUCGUAAAAAUCAUGACACGUAUUAAUAUUUAGUUUUGACACUUGACAUAAUGGUGUGAAUAACGUUGUGUGCUUCUCCUUUUAUAUAUAUAUAUUAGUAAUCGUACAUGUGCGAUGCUCGGUUAAUAUUAAAAACUAUUAAUUAAAUUAUAAUUGAGUUUAUUUGAUCCUAUUAGACCGUAUUACUUUAAUAAAUCUCAAUUAUUCUUUUUUUGUCAAUACGAUAUAUCCAAUCCUCACUGAUAUUUGAGUUGUUAAUUUAGGUAGUUCAUUUCUUUGUUAAUUUUUAAUAAAUAUUUUUUUUUGAAUAAACAGUUUCUUUCCAUUUCAUAAAAAAAAACAAUUACAAACCAGUAGCUGCUGACCAACUACUCGACCUCUGAUUUUGUAUUCUAAAUGAGUCUCUACCAGAACUAUGCAUAUACAUCAAUUCUAUACAAAGCUCAUAGAACAAAAUUUAAACCGACUCCAUAUCCUAAGGGUAGCUAUUUGUCCUCUGCAAAGCAUCCUUCCAGUUAUGAAUUGAGGACCCCUUUAUGUGUAUGUGGACUGCUAUUUCCUUAGAUAUGUUGCUGAUGAUCAUUCUACCUCUUUGAAACCUAAGCUUGUUCCUUUCUCUCCAUAUAACAUAUACUAGCAUCCCAAUUGUUAUUUCCUUGCAUAUGUUGUUGAUAAUCAUUCUACCUCUUUGGAACCUAAGCUUGUUCCUUUCUCUCCAAAUAAGAUAUACUAGCAUCCCAAAUACACUGGUGGUUAUUGAAGUUUGACCAUUUCUCCUUUUUGCAUUCUUGCUAACCCAUUCAACCUCCCUAAUCCAAUCACAGAUGGUUCUCUCGUAUCCCAUCAAUCUUGACAAUCUAUUCCAUAGUUCCAAAGAUGUCGGGCAAGCAAAAAACAGGUGAUCAAAUGAUUCAUCUGCUUGCCUGCAAAAAACACACAGCUGUGGAGUCUGUAUACCAAACUUCAUUAAUCUCUCCACUGUUGCCAGUCUUCUAUGCAAUGCAAGCCAUAUAAUGAAUUUGAAUCUGAUGUGGAGUCUGUAUAUCAAACUUCAUUAAUCUCUCCAAUGUUGCCAGUCUUCUAUGCAAUGCAAGCCAUAGAAUGAAUUUGAAUCUUGGAUGCAGCUGUGCGAGUCUGUAUACCAAACUUCAUCAAUCUCUCCACUGUUGUCAGUCUUCUAUGCAACGCAAGCCAUAGAAUGAAUUUGAACCUUGGAUGCAACUGUGCCUGCAAAAUGAUGCUUUUCCAGUGGACUUUCUGGAGUUGGGGAAAUUGCAGUCUAUAGAGCUUUUUGAUACUAAAUAGAUCUCCCCUCUGUAGUUGUUUUAAUCUGCACUCCAGACUACCAUGGAUACCCUGAAGAUCUGUUAUGAGUUUCCUUGUCUCAAAAAUUUUCCUCACAACCCAGGCAGUAUUCCUAGGAGUAGGCAUAUCUUCAAUAGACUUCUUCUUUAUGUAAUAAGUGUGUAACCAUUUGAUCCAUGAGUUGUCUUUCUUCAUUUUCACUGCCCAUAAGUGCUUACAAUGGCAGCUUUGUUCCAAUAUAGCAAACUCAUGACAUUAAGACCCCCAACACUAUAUGGUAAACAUAUUGUUUCCCAAGCAACUAAUGCUUUCAUUAACACUGUAGUUGUACCAGUCCACAAGAAUGAUUUGCAUAUUGCCUCAAUCAUCUUCAUUACCUUCUUAGGCAACAAGAAAAUAUGAGAUCAAUAAGAUUGCACUCCAAAUAAUACAGACUUUAUCAGCUGAAGUCUGCCUGCAUAUGAUAGUAGUCUUGAUGUCCAGCAAUUAAUUUUCUGAGUUACCUUCUCCACUAGUGGCCAGUAUUGUGUAAUAGAUAGCUUUUUGGAAUCCAAAGGUACACCAAGAUAUUUGAAAGGAGGGGUACCUUCAGGGAAUCCCAACUCUUGCAUGAUUUCCUCCUUGAGCCAGUUGGGAACCCCAGCUAUGUAGACUGCACUCUUAUCUGCAUUUUCCUAAAGACCUGAUGUUGCAGCAAACUUCUGGAGAGUCUGUUUUAAUAGUCUAACAGACUGAAACUUGAAAUCCUUCCUUUUCAUCAUCUGCAUAAAUUUCCCUGUGCAAAUAUUCCAUAGCUAUGACAAAGAAGUAUGGGGACAUUGGGUCCUCUUGCCUUAUGCCUCUUUUUCAUUUAAAUGGUGUUACGAGACCAAAAUUUAAACUUAAGGAAUAUGUAACAGAUGAUAUGCAUUCCAUUAUCCAGCUUGUGAAUUUGUAAGGAAAUCCCAUGUCCAGCAGUAGUCUUUCUAUAAAACACCACUCUAUUGUGUCAUAGGCCUUCCCCAGGUCAACUUUUAGCACACAUCUUGGGGAACCUCCUUUCUUAUUAUACCCUUUGAAUAGCUCAUGGGUAAAUAGGAUGUUAUCUAUUAUACUCAUACCUUCAAUGAAAGCUGACUGUGAACUUCCUAUCAAAUCACCAAUGACUGUUUUGAUCCUUGCUGUGAGGACUUUUGUGAUUAUUUUAUAUAGAGUUGUGCAGCAAGCUAUGGGCCUAUAAUCAUUUACUUGACUAGGAUUUUGCACAUUUAGUUUCAAUGUUACAGGUGUACUACUCACUCCUUUGUGCAGUUUACCAGUCUCAAAAAAUUCCUUCACAGCCUCAAAUAUGUCAUCACCAACUGCUUUCCAAUGCCUUGUGAAAAAAUCAUUUGGGAACCCAUCUACUCCCGAUGUCAUAUCAUGGGGCAUAUCUUUGAUUGCCCGAUGAACUUCCUCCCUUGUGACUGGCCUGAUUAGUGAUUGUUUCUGGUGCAUGCUAAGACAAGGUCCCUUUUGAAUAAUUUCAGUAUUUGGACACUGAUAUAUGGAGUUACUUUCCCCAGAAUCUUGCUAAAAGACUUUAUAAACUCUUCCUCCACUAGUUUAGGAUCAAACAAUCUAUCCCCUAGAUCAGUGUAGAUGGAGUUGAUAGUAUUCAUGUUUGUCCUCAUCUUCAAUGUGCACGGAAAUACUUGGAAUUUGAAUCUCCACAAGAGAUCCACUAUGCCAUGGAUUUCUGAUGAAGAAUCAUUUCCCCUAUGUUGCUCCAUUUCUCAAUUUUAUUAAAGUCACCUUUUCUUGAUAUAUCAGCUCCUGAUCCAUAUUGUUGCUUCUCAGUUCAAUCUGAAUGGCUUCAAGUUUUUGUCUAGCUUUAUUGAGAUGAAUUCUAUAGGAUGCCAUAUAAGUGUUCAACUCCUUCAAUUCCCAUUUCAAAGCUUUGAGUUUAUUCCAUACCCUAUGCANNNNNNNNNNNNNNNNNNNNNNNNNNNNNNNNNNNNNNNNNNNNNNNNNNNNNNNNNNNNNNNNNNNNNNNNNCAUUUCCACCAUUCACCUCUUGUUUCCAAACCCUUUCCACUAUACCAGCAAAGUCUGCAUGCUCCAUCACAGAAUUGUACAGUUUAAAAGGUUUAGGGUGAAAAUUCCUUCUCUGAUCCACAACUUUGCAUUGCAUUAGAAUAAGGGAAUGAUAGGAUACCUCAGGAUUUAUAAAAUCGGCUUCAAUGUGGCUAUAAUUAUGCGUCCAUUCCACAUUUCCAAGUGCCCGGUCUAUCCUGCUAUACACUCUUUUUCCAGGUUGUUGUUUGUUGCACCAAGAAUAGUACCAUCCCAAGCUCUUCAACUGAGUAAGUUGAAGUGAGUUUAUUGCUUCCUGGAAACCUUUAAUCUCACUCUGUGUGACUGGUGAUCCAAUCCUGUCAUCUGUGUGAAGGACAUUAUUGAAAUCCCCACUAAGCAGCCAGCUCUCCUGAAUAGAUGCUCUUAUAUGCACCAGCCUAUCCCAUAAUUGACGUCUCUUAUUUGCCUCAUUGAUUGCAUAUACCACUGUAAUUAGAGUCUUGAAUGUGGUACCUCUUUCCUGAACUUCAUAGUGAAUAAAUUGUUCAUCAGUCAUCAAUAUUUUCACCUCAAUGUUUGGUUUCCACAUUAUCCAAAUUCUCCCAUUGGAAUGUUCAUUAUAAUUGCAGUAGUUUCUCCAAUCACAGCAGACUUUAUUUAGUAUCCUUCUAGACUUCCUUUCCUUUACUCUAAUUUCUAAACAUCCCAUAAAAUCCACUUUUUUCCUCGGAAAGAUUUUUAACUCUUUCUGAUUUUGGGCCUUAUUCAGGCCCCUAAUGUUCUAGGUGCAUAGAUUCAUUUGAGGGUGAAGCUGGAUGGGCCAACGUCCCCAGGAUUAUCUUCCAUCUGUAAUAUAAAGAAUCUGUUGUUUGGGUUCAGGAUACCAGCUACAUUUUGCAGUACACUUUUACCUUUCAGUUUCCUAUUGUCCACAGGUUUAUCAAUGUCAUUUUCAUCUGGUUUUGCUUUAUCCCCUGCCUUCUUUCCAAUUGAGCUGCCUCAUCCUUACUCUUUGCUUUUGGAAUCCAUUCAUGGUUCCUCUGUGCAGUUGUUUCUUCUUUUCUGUUUGUUUUGGUUGAUAUAUGUCUUCCCUUGGUUUAUCUUGCAUUUUCUUAUGCCAAAACUCAUUAGAAGUGUGCCUAAAUCUAAUGCAAUUACCACAAUAUUUUGGUUUCCAUUCAUAGUCUAUUUGUUGGACUAUGAUCCCCCUCUUUGUUUGAAGCUCAAACCUGUCUGCUAAUGGCUUAAAUAUAUCAGUCUCAGCCAUCACUCUAGCAUAGGACACCUUUCCUAAUUCUGCUGUAAACUUAUCAGUAUAUAAAGGUUUUCCAACCACACUAGCUAACUUGCUUAAAGCUUCAGUAGACCAAAAACCCAGAGGUAAGCCUGGGAAUGUGAUCUACAAGGGAAUCACACUUAUGCUCCCUAGAUCAAACUUGAAGUCCGUUCUCCAUUGUUGCAACACAAGUGACUUAUUGUGAAAUGUGUAAGGACCUGCUUGUAAAACAAGGUCCUUAUCCUCAGCAUUCUCGAAUCUGAAUAUAUAGUACCCAUCCUCAUGGUACAUUAUUUGAGGCUUUUCAACAAAAAUCCACAUGUUAGUGACAUAAUUUUCCCUUGUUUUUUCGUAUGGAUCCUCCCCCAGCACAAACCCAAUCUGAGCAUUGCUCCAAUAAGCCUCCAAUUCCUUUGUAUCCUCAUCAUCAAUUUGCACUACAAAGGUUCCAUCACUCAUAGCAGGUGGAAUGUAGCUCAGUGUGUUGCCUUUUUGAGAGCUCUUAUUCUUCUGCAUGGAAGCCUUUUUCCUUUCUUCUCCCCCUGGAUCUACUACAUCUUGCUGUAUUUGAGUUGAAUUUGCAUGUGCUGAGAAUUGCAAUCGUCUGUGGACUAGUGGUUGCUCCAUUGUUUCCUUCACUUGUGUUUGCUCUUCGCAUUUUUCAAUUUCUUCCCUAAUUGGCUGAAGUUUCUUAGGUAAAAAACUUUCAAAAGUUACCUGAAUUAGCCUCUGUCGAAUUCCCGUGUCCGGCGUUACUAUCGUACCAUUUCUUCCUUCGUCUUCAGCUGGGUUAUGAAACAUUGUGGGUGCAGAGCCCAUACCUGUUAACCAGCGAGUAGGCUGGUUGAGCACUGGUGUUUCCUUCUUACUAUCAUCUUCCUUAUCCUCCAUUAUCGAUUGUUGCUUCUUCCUUUGUUUAGACAUUGCGGAAGCGCAGGUCAGCUAGCCUUGCUAACAUGCGCCUGUAGAGCACCUCCAUUAUCGAAUUGUUGCUUCUUCCUUUGUCUAGCCAUGGCAGAAGCGAAGGUUAGCUAGCAUAUUAUUUGUUUAAUAUUUUUGUCUGCUAUUUUUUUUGUAAUAUAAUAGAAGAUAUAUUUUUUUUAAUUUUUUUAUAUUUUUUCAAUAAUAUUGUUUGAAUUUUAACAAAUAGAUAUACUUGUUAUUUCAAAAAAUAAAAAAGAAUAUGAUUUUUAAAAAUAAAAUAAAGAAAUUAACUAAGUAAACCAACUCUCACCAAUGUUUUAGUAGUUAAUUUAGGUAGUUUCUUUCUUUGUUAAUUUUUAAUAGAUAAUUUCUUUGUUAUUACUAUUAUUCCAUAAGAAUUUUUUCUAGACUACCACUUGGCUUAAGGAGAUGACUUUAUCUUCUCCUUUUAUUCUAUUGUUUCUUUAUAUAUUAUCUAAAUUUUAAUGAACAAAAUCUCUGUAAACUAACGGGACUUAUACAGGGAGCGCACUGAAUCACUUUUUUAUUAUAUAUAUAUUUUAUUAUAUCAUCUAAUAUUUAAUAUUAUUACAUUGUUAAUAUGAAGAUUUAUUAGCAUAUUACUUUAUUAAAUAUUUUUUUUGAAAGUUUUUUUUGUUUUAUUUAUUUUAAAAUAAUUUUAAAACUCCAACUUGAAACUAAUCCCCAAUUUGAAUUGGUAAUUAUUAUUUUUAAUUCAAUUUUAUUUUAAAAUUAUUUUAAAACUCCAACUUGAAACUACAUCCAGAUUUGAAUGGGUAGUUUUCUUCUCUUUCUUUGAAUUUUUUAUAGCUAAUUUUUAUUUCCUUUUUUAUAGAUAUGUUUUUCCUUUUAUUUUAAAAUAAUUUUUAAAAAGUUCAACAUGAAACUACUCUCACCCAAUUUGAAUGGGGAAAAUAUUAUUUUGUGUUUUUACUUUUUAUAGAUAAUUAUAAGAUAUCUAUAUUUAUUAAUUCAAUUAGUGUAACCAAUUAAUUCAAAAUUCAAAGAAAAUUAGUUAGAAAAGUAGUUUAUUUUGUAUUUACAAAUCCACUUGGCAUUUUGUGGAUAAGAGACUUGUCUUAAUGUAGUGUUUUUGCUUCUCCUAUUAUAUAUAUAUUAGUAAUUGUACCCGCGCGAUGCACAGUUAUUAAUAAAAAAUAUUAAUUAAAUUAAAUUAUGAUCGGUCUUGUUCGAUCCUAUUAAAUUAUAUUGCUUUAAUAAAAUUCAAUUAUCAUCUUACUUGUCAAUACGAUAUACCCAAUAAUGAAAUCUUUAUAAAAUCAAAGGUACUUAUAUAGUUAGUGAAUUACUUUUUUGUUCUAUAUUUAUUUUUAUUAUAUUAACAAAAAUUUAAUACUCGCUUUCUUUUUGUCAUAUAUGAGAAGAUUUAUAAUUUAUUACUUUUGAAAUAUUUUUUUCAUUUGAACUUUUAUUACUACUACUGUUGUUGUUGUUGUUGCUGCUACUACUACUACUACUACUAUUUUAAGUUUUUAUCAUAAAAUAAUUUUAAAACUCCAACUUGAAACUACUCCCCAAUUUGAAUAAAUAGAAUAUUUUUUGUGUUUUCAUUUUUUAUAGAUAAUUACAAUAUAUCUAUAUCUAUUAAUUCAAUUAGUGUAACCAAUUAAUUCAAAAUUUAAAAAAAAAAUAGUUAGGAAAGUAGUUUAUUUUGUAUUUACAAAGCCACUUGGCAUUUUGUGAUUAAGACACUUGUCUUAAUGUAGUGCUUUUGUAUUUUGUGUAUAUUAAUUGCUUAAUAUUGUUACAUUAACAUAUGAAUUAUUAAUAAAUUACCAAUUUAGUAUAAUAACUAUUCUCAUAUACACACACGCACUACUACUACUACUACUAUUAUAAUAUUAGGAAGAGAUUACUUUUCAAUUAUUUUUUUUGGUCAUUCAGAAUUUAUUAAUCACCAAAGAUGUUGCAAUACAACGUCAUAGUCCAGCUUAUGCGCAGCUGACUAUCUAAUCAUAUAUAUCUAACUAACUAUCCCCUGUAACUAUAAACUUCACUGUAUUUUACAAGUUAAAUUGCUGCAUCGGCUGUCUAAGUUUAGGAUUUCCUCUAACAUUACAUAUAUAUGCAAGUUCACUGACUAAAACUUCACUGCUACGAAAGAUAUUCUCAAAUAUACGCGAGUUUCUUUCCAGCCACAGAGCAUAGUAUACUUCAGCAGUCACCAUUUUGAAUAUGUUGGCUCUACUUGACUUCCCUUUAGCUUUGCUAAUUAGCCACUGGAGUCUCUGGUCCCAGUUCUGUGUUCUGGGAUGCUCCUCUUGAAUCCAAUUCAUUGUUUGCUACCAUAGCUCUAUUGAAUAUGAGCAAGAAAGGAAUAUAUGAUCUAUGGUUUCUGUAUGGUUCUGACACAACACAUAUAUCUGGUCUACAUUCAUUCCCCAUUGUAUUAGCCUAUCCUUGGUUGGAAGUCUGUCAUGAAGUACUAACCAUAGGUUGAACACAGCUUUAGGUCUGGCAUAAUUCUGGAUAGUUAAGUUCUUCCAAGAGACUCUCGGUAAUUGCCCUAUCUGUAAUAGAUAUAUCUGCCCGAUGGAGCAUACUUGCAUAUUGAAGCCUUGGCAUUGCUGCAAAAUACCUCUUGCUGCUAUGAUCCUUCUGACCAGCCAACUAGCAUGGCUGGGAAUUGGCAUAUUCUCUAACUGGUGCAGCUUUAUAUAGACAUCAUUUAUCCUUUUUAUCCACAACUUGUCUUUUUUGUGAGCUAUAUCCAAGCAGAGCUUUGCAAUUGCAGCUUUGUUCCACAGAGAUAAGUUAGUAAUAUUCAAUCCACCAGUUGAUUUAGGAGUACACAUUCUCUCCCAAGAUACAUAAGUUUUUUUAGUGAUGGCAUUUGAUCUAGAUCAGAUAAAGCUUCUACAUAUUGCUUCAGUUAGCUUCAUUAUUUUAGCUGGAAUGAUGAAUAGUUGAGCCCAGUAUGCUUGUAUUCCAAACACCACAGAUUGGACAAGUUGCAGUCUCCCGGCAUAGGACAGUUUCUUGGCAGUCCAUGAUGUGAUCCUAGCAGUAAUAUUUUCCACUAAUGGUUGCCAUUGAAUCAGUGACAUCUUCUUGGUGGAUAAAGGAAUGCCAAUAUAUUUGAAAGGUAAUUCUCCAUGAACAAAACCAAGGUGAUCAAUAAUCUGCUUUUGCACUUCUUGUUUAACUCCUCCAAAAUAUACUAAGCUUUUGCCCAGAUUAGCCUUCAGUCCUGAAGCUUCUCCAUGAACAAAGCCAAGGUGAUCAAUAAUCUGAUAUUGCACUUCUUGUUUAACUCCUCCAAAAUAUACUGAGCGUUUGCCCAGAUUAGCCUUCAGUCCUGAAGCUUCAGAGAAUUGAGAGAAAUAUUGGAACAUAGCUAUGACAGACUUGAUAUCUCCUUUAGCAAAUAAGAGUAAAUCAUCUGAUAUUGCACUUCUUGUUUAACUCCUCCAAAAUAUACUGAGCGUUUGCCCAGAUUAGCCUUCAGUCCUGAAGCUUCAGAGAAUUGAGAGAAAUAUUGGAACAUAGCUAUGACAGACUUGAUAUCUCCUUUAGCAAAUAAAAGUGAAUCAUCAGCAAAGAUUAUGUGAGUAAUGCCCAGUUUGUUACAUCUAGGGUGAUAGUGAAAAGUUUGAUCUUUCCUUAGUUCAACCAGUGAUCUGCUAAGGUACUCCAUGACUAUUGAAAAUAGGAAUGGAGAUAAUGGAUUACCUUGCCUGAGGCCUUUAGCAGCUUCAAAUGGUUCUGUUGCUUCUCCAUUAAUCAGCACUGUAAAGCUUACUGUUUGAACACAUUCCAUGAUCUAGUUAGUGAAUCUGGUUGGGAAACCCAUCCCCUCCAUUACUUGUUGUAGAUCCACUCAACAUAAUUAUAAGCUUUCUGAAGGUCAAUUUUAAUCAUACAUCUGGGAGUCACAUGAGCUCUGGUAUAGUUACAGAAUCAUAAGCUUUCUGAAGGUCAAUUUUAAUCAUACAUCUGGGAGUCACAUAAGCUCUGGUAUAGUUUUUGAUCAAAUCAUGAGCCAAGAUGACAUUAUCAGCAAUCUUCCUGCCUGGAAUAAAACCUGCUUGAGACUCACAAAUGAUAAUAGGCAUGAGCUUCUGUAGCCUGUUGGCCAGGAUUUUAGAAAUCAUUUUGUAUAGUAAUGAGCAGCAUGCAAUUGGUCUAUACUCUUUAUCUGUGGAUGGUCUGGAGACUUUGGGGAUUAAUGUAAUAGUGGCACAGUUUAUUGGCUUAUACGUCUUGGUUGUUUGGAAGAACUCCUUGAUUGCACUUAUGACCUGCUUGCCAAUAAUGUUCCAAGACUUCUUGAAGAAUACAACAUUAUAGCCAUCAAUUCCUGGAGCUUUAUCAUCCCCAAUUGCUUUUAGACUCUCCAUAAUUUCAAGAUCAGUAAUAUCAGCAGAUAACUCCUUCUCUGUUGUUGUGUUACGAUUGGGCCAUUAGCCAUACACAUUCUGUUUAUAGCUGGAAAGAAUGUAGCUGAUGAUCCCAUUAGUGACUUGUAGAAACCAAUAAUCUCCCUUUUAAUGCCUGCAGGUGUAUUAACUUUAUCUCCCAGUGCUGUACUGAGUUCUGUGAUCUGUUUAUAUUGAGUUCUUUCUUUCAGGACAACAGAAAAGUAUUUGGUAUUAGAAUCUCCAAGUUGAAUCCAUUUUGCUCUAGCCUUCUGCUGUAAUAUAAGUUCUGUGAUAUGUUUAUAUUGAGUUCUUUCUUUCAAGACAACAGAAAAGUAUUUGACAUUAGAAUCUCCAAGUUGAAUCCAUUUUGCUCUAGCCUUCUGCUGUAAUAUACUUUCUUCAAUCAAUGACCAUCUUUCUAGCUUCAAUACUAUCUCUUUCUCUUUCUGCUGCAACUCAUCAGUAUAUGUCAAUACCAUUUGUUCAUGUAUGUCUUUCAAUUGAUGUCUGCUAUGCUCAAUUCUCUGAGUAACGUUCUUAAACUCCUUAACAUUUAAAGUCUUUAGGGGACCUUUCAAUGCUUUGAGGUUAGCCCAUACUAAUUUCAUAGAUCCAAUGUUGUUAUAGUGCCAGUUAUCUUCCACCAUCUGCUGAAAAUCUUCAUGCUCAGUCCAUGCAUAGAAAAAUUUGAAAGGUAUCUUAUCAUUCCUAGUAACUGCUGCCAGUGUCACUAUCAUAGGAUUAUGGUCAGAGAUUAGAGAUUGUUCAUAUACUGUUUCCACAUGACUCCACUUGAUCAUCCACUCAUAGUUACAAAAUACUCUAUCCAAUCUGCUAGAGACUCUAUCAGUUCCUGGCUACUUGUUUGUCCAGGUGUAGUUGUCACCCUUCCAAGGUAGUUCUGAAAGCCCAGCCUAUUGUAUGCAUUGACUAAAUUCUUGAGUCUCUGAAUAUUUAACAAGAUUACUUGACUGUCUAUCAUUGGCAUAUAACACAACAUUGAAAUCUCCAGCAACUAACCAAGCUUCAUUUAUAGCUGAUGAGUAGUCCUGCAUAUGCCUCCAUAGAGAUAUUCUUUGCUCCAACCCAUUAUGCCCAUAUAUCACAGUGAGAUAGCAAGUGACAUCACCAUUAAUGCUUCUGACUCUGCAUUGUAUCUAUAUGCCUCCAUAGAGAUCUUCUUUGCUCCAACCCAUUGUACCCAUAUACCACAGUGAGGUAGCAAGUGACAUCACCAUUAAUGCUUUUGACUCUGCAAUGUAUCAAUUGAGCCUCUUCCUGGAUACCAGCAACUGUGAACAUAUUUGUGUCCCAUAAACCUAUACUUUACCAUUUAUAGCACCAUUAUAAUUUGUUAGAGAACCCAACCAGGAGCCAGCAGAUUAGCAAUUCUUCUUGCAUUUGUUUCCUUAACCUUAGUUUCUACCAAACCAACAAGGUUUAUUUUAUUUCCCUUAUAUACUCCCUAACUUCUUUUUGUUUAUACCUUUUAUUUACACCUCUAAUACUCCAGAAUAACCACUCAAUUGGCAGUUUUAAACUUUUCAAUUUGAAAUGCUAGUUUUUAACUUUUUAAUUUUUAUUGUAAAAUAAUUUUAAAACUCCAACUUGAAAUGACUCUACAAUUUGAAUGAGUAGAAUAUCUUUUUGUAUUUUACUUUUUUAUAAAUAUUAUAAGAUAUUUAUAUUUAUUAAUUCAAUUAGUGUAGCCAAUUAAUUCAAAAUUUAAAAUUAAAAAAAAAUUGGUUAGAAAAGUAGUUUAUUUUGUAUUUACAAAGCCACUUGGCAUUUUGUGGUUAAGACACUUGNNNNNNNNNNNNNNNNNNNNNNNNNNNNNNNNNNNNNNNNNNNNNNNNNNNNNNNNNNNNNNNNNNNNNNNNNNNNNNNNNNNNNNNNNNNNNNNNNNNNNNNNNNNNNNNNNNNNNNNNNNNNNNNNNNNNNNNNNNNNNNNNNNNNNNNNNNNNNNNNNNNNNNNNNNNNNNNNNNNNNNNNNNNNNNNNNNNNNNNNNNNNNNNNNNNNNNNNNNNNNNNNNNNNNNNNNNNNNNNNNNNNNNNNNNNNNNNNNNNNNNNNNNNNNNNNNNNNNNNNNNNNNNNNNNNNNNNNNNNNNNNNNNNNNNNNNNNNNNNNNNNNNNNNNNNNNNNNNNNNNNNNNNNNNNNNNNNNNNNNNNNNNNNNNNNNNNNNNNNNNNNNNNNNNNNNNNNNNNNNNNNNNNNNNNNNNNNNNNNNNNNNNNNNNNNNNNNNNNNNNNNNNNNNNNNNNNNNNNNNNNNNNNNNNNNNNNNNNNNNNNNNNNNNNNNNNNNNNNNNNNNNNNNNNNNNNNNNNNNNNNNNNNNNNNNNNNNNNNNNNNNNNNNNNNNNNNNNNNNNNNNNNNNNNNNNNNNNNNNNNNNNNNNNNNNNNNNNNNNNNNNNNNNNNNNNNNNNNNNNNNNNNNNNNNNNNNNNNNNNNNNNNNNNNNNNNNNNNNNNNNNNNNNNNNNNNNNNNNNNNNNNNNNNNNNNNNNNNNNNNNNNNNNNNNNNNNNNNNNNNNNNNNNNNNNNNNNNNNNNNNNNNNNNNNNNNNNNNNNNNNNNNNNNNNNNNNNNNNNNNNNNNNNNNNNNNNNNNNNNNNNNNNNNNNNNNNNNNNNNNNNNNNNNNNNNNNNNNNNNNNNNNNNNNNNNNNNNNNNNNNNNNNNNNNNNNNNNNNNNNNNNNNNNNNNNNNNNNNNNNNNNNNNNNNNNNNNNNNNNNNNNNNNNNNNNNNNNNNNNNNNNNNNNNNNNNNNNNNNNNNNNNNNNNNNNNNNNNNNNNNNNNNNNNNNNNNNNNNNNNNNNNNNNNNNNNNNNNNNNNNNNNNNNNNNNNNNNNNNNNNNNNNNNNNNNNNNNNNNNNNNNNNNNNNNNNNNNNNNNNNNNNNNNNNNNAACAUACUCAACAAUUUGAAUCAAAAAUAUAUUUAUUGCUUUAUUUUUGUUUUUUUAUUUUAAAACAAUUAUAAAACUCCAACUUGAAACUACUCCCAAUUUGAAAUGAUAAUAUUUUUCAAUUUUAAUUUAAAACUCCAACUUGAAGUUACUCUCCACUUUGAAUAAAUAGUUUUCCUACUUCUUUUUUCGUUUUGUGUUAUUGUUAAUUUUUUUAAAAUAAUUCUAAAACUCCAAUUCCAAUUUGAAACUACUCUUCGAUUUGAAUGAGUAGUUUUUCUUCUUCUUUUUUUAAUUUUUUAAUAUAUUUAAUCUUAUUUUAUUUUCUUCUUUGUUGUUUAUUUUAAAAUAAUUUUAAAACUUCAACUUGAAACUACUCCCACCCAAUUUGAAUGUGUAGUUAUAUUUUUUAUAUUUAUAUUUUAAAUUUUUUAUUAUAACUAGUUAUAAGAUAUCUAUAUUUAUUAACUAAAACAAAGUAACCAAUUAAUAUAUAUAUAUAUAUAUGGUAGUUUUUUUUUUUUUUAUUAUUUUCGUUUUAUAGGUAUUUAAAAAUUCAAAUAUACUAACUAAUAACUAAUUAUUAACUAAAAAAAUUAAUUAGUACUCCCUUAGGUUCAUAAUAAGUGUACAAUUUGCUUUUAGUACACGCAUUAAGAAAAUACUAAAUUAUAUACAAAAAUACCUACUAUGACUAAACUACCCCUGCUUAAACAUUUAAUGUGAGGAGAAAGAAAACUUUUUAGGAAUAUGCAUAUUGAGGUUAUUUUGUAAAAACAAAUUGAAUUCUUUCUUAAUUACAUAACUGGAUACUUAUUUUAAACUAAAAUAUAAAAAGCAAAUUUGACACUUAUUGUGAACCGGAUGGAUUAACUAAUUAUGUCAUGUGGCUUUUUUUAUGCUGCCACUUAGCUGAAGGAUAGGGCUUUAUCCUCUCCUUUUAAUAAGGAGAAGACUUUAUCAUUUCCUUUUAAUAAUAUAUAGAUAUAGAUAUAAAACUCUAACUCCAACUUGAAACUACUUCUCGAUUUGAAUGAGUAGUUUUUCUUCUUCUUUUUUCAUUUUUUUAAUAUAGUUAAUUUUGUUUUUUGUUUUUUGUUUUAAUAUAAUUUUAAAACUUCAAUUUGAAACUAUUCCUACCCAAUUUGAACGGGUAGUUAUUUUUUUAUAUUUAUAUAUUUAAUUUUUUAUUUUAAAAUAAUUUUAAAACUCCAACUUGAGACUAUUCCCACUCAAUUUGAACGGGCAUUUAUUUUUAUAUAUUUAUAUUUUCAAUUUUUUAUUAUAACUAAUUAUAAGAUAUCUAUAUUUAUUAAUUAAAUUAAAGUAACUAAUAUAUAUAUAUAUAUAUAUAUAUAUGUGUGUGUGUGUGUGUGUGUGUGUGUGUGUGUGUGGUAGUUUUUUAUUUUUUAUUAUUUUCAUUUUUAUAGAUAUUUAAAUUCAAAUAUAAUAAUUAAUAACUAAUCAUUAACUAAAAAACUAAUUAGUAACUAAUUAUGCCAUGCGACUUUUUUUUAUGCUGCCACUCUAAAUGGUAGUUUUUUUAUUACUAUUUUUGUUUUUAUAAGUUUAAAUUCAAAUAUAAUAAUUAAUAACUAAUUAUUAACUAAAAAUCUAAUUAGUAACUGAUUAUACCAUGUGACUUUAUUUAUGCUGCCACUUGGCUUAAAGAGAAGGUUUAUUUUCUCCUUUUAAUAAUUUAUAGAAUAUAGAUAGAUUAAUAUAUAACAAAUACUCCCUCCAUUUCAUAUUAUUUGACAUAGUUUGACUCGGUACGAAAUUUAAGAAAAAAGAAGAAAACUUUUGAAACUUAUCUUAAAAGUUUAAGGGGUAAAAAGUUUAUGGGGUCAUAUCAUUUGUGUGGCUAUAAAAGCUUCUUAUUAAGGGCAAAAAAGGUAAAACGAAGAGUUUAAAAUUGAAUUAUUAUUAAAUUUAAAAAUAUAUUAUUCAUUUGAGAACAAACUAAAAAGAAAAGUAGGUCAUUCAAUAUGAAAUAAAGGAGUAAUAGAUAAUAGAUAUUUCAAUCAACAUUAAAUCCGGUUCUAUGCUUCUUAUUAUAUACUAUUUAUCAAGUUAUCUUUCCACAACUUAAAAUUUUGAAUUUUCUUUCCCUUUAUUUAUUAUACUAAUACUAAUACUAAAACUAAUACUAAUAUGAGUGUUAAGUUACACGAUCUUCACAUUAAAGACAUGUUCAUCCAAAUUUAGAAAAUUGACCUUCCUCUCAUUUUUCACAUUUACUUUUCGCAACGUUUUUCAAUAAAAAAAUUCUUAAACAUAGGAUUAUUCCCAUGAAUCUAAACGCAAAAAAGUAUCUCCUCCAUCAUAUCAACAUCCACUUUGUACCUUAGUUGAAUUUAGACAUGAUUGCAUAAUUGUAGAGCAAUUUAACGAUAUAAUGCAUGACAUGUAAGUAGGGGCGAAGGGAGAGAAUCGGUUAGGACAAACUUAGUAAUUUUUGUUUAAAUUUUAUUUAUAUUAAAAGCUUAUUAAAUGUAAAUAAAUACUUAAUUGCGAACUAAGUAACCAAAACUAGCUAUAGAUUUGAUUACAAGAUUAGAGCCUAUAAAGAAUGAUGAAAGACUUGACUAGAUUAACAAUAAUCAAGAGACCAUUGAAUUGAGUCUUUUGAAGGAUUUUGAGUCAAAAUAUUCGUUAACUGAUCUUUCAAAAGACUACUUUCCCACAAAAUAAGACAAAUAGACAUUACUUGAAAACAAUGGCAUUUUGUACAAACAAAUUUAAUCAUAAACUAAGGUCGAGGUAGUUAGCAGUUAGGCAGUAUCGACGCUUGAAAUCUAGAGUUAGAACUUUUUGUUGAUUAAAGUAAUUUUGUGAAUAUUUCUAAUGUGAAAAUAUUCUCUCUCUUUUUAAAUUUUCUUUUAAAGGACGGGAUUAUUUCUUGAAAACUAUGUAAUUCUUUCACACACAAAAAAGAUGUAUAAACAUAUUCAAAAUGAUGUUGACAAAAUGAUUUAAAAAUAAUGAUAUUUUAUAAAAUUUUGUGGGAACAAAUUCAAUCAAGAAUUUAGGUUAGAGCGAUCAUUUUUUGAACAAUAUGAUGUUAACCUAUCAUUUAUUCAAUUUGAUAUUUUUAAUUUACGGUGUCAUAAAUCUAAUAUUAUUAUAAGAAGAAUCUUUCAAUAUCUAUAUCUAUGAGAAAGACAUAAGACCAGAAUCUCAAGGAUGUGCCCCUCGUCCUCAGGUCCAAGAAAAGAUACUAAUCGAAAAUGUUGAAGUUAAGCUUUUUUUUUUUUAAGAAUCUCACUGAUAAAAAAUAAAAGACAAAAUUUUGCAGAAUAUUAAAACAAUUCAUGUAGUGAUGAACGUACUUAGCAUGGAAAUUAGAGUUCAUCAAAUCAAAGUCUUAACUAUUUUGUUAAUUAAAGUAGGCAUUUUCAUUAGUAACAAAAAGUUGUAAAACAUUUUCUUUUUUUCAUUUGAGAUACUGUUAGCCCAAAAUAAAUGUAGAUUCGGAUGCUUGGAAAUGUAAAACUCAAAUAUUCAGUUUGACUUGGUCUCUCUCUCGCUCUCUGCGUGAAUUGGUGCCACCAUUGCGGAGUGUUCGUGGUGUCCACGCUCUUCAACGGUCGGUCUUUCUCCUCCUCCCUUUACUAAAAAAAACACAGUUGGGGUUUUUCCUUCGUCUCUGUCUCCCUAAAACCCUUCAAAAAUUUUCGAGAAAAUUGAAGUGGGGUUCUGAAAAAAGAAGCCAAGAAUUGAAAGAAAAUGGUGGAGAAAAGGAAGUUACAGAAAAGGGUCUUUAUUGAUGAAGAUGAUGUAUCCUCUCUAUUACAAAGGUUGGUUCUUUUUUGUUUUCAAGUUUGUUCUUGAAAACUUAUGUGUAUAUGUAUGUGUGUGUAUAUUUGUAUUGUUCUUGGAUAUAUUUUUUUAAGUUGUGCUAUUACCUUUACUACACUACGCAGAUACACAUAUGUAUGUAUAUAUGUAUCUACGUAAUCAAACGCGGAGCCAUGAUUUCAACUUUAUGAUUGCUAGAUUUUAGAAUGACGACUUUAAGUGCUACUAUCUUGAUUCUCAAUUUUAUAUUUAUACUGUUUGAGCGAAAGCUAGUGGGUUCGGCUGGACUUGCAUUCAGGCUUCUAGCUCCGCCCCUUAUGUAAUUCAUGUGUUUUGGUAUUGUUUAGUGAAUAUAUUAUGCAUAUUAAUUUUGAUUGUUUUGUAAAUGUGGGUUUGAAAGGUAUACAGCAAUGACUUUGUUGGCGGUGUUGCAAGAGGUGUCACAAGUUCAAGAUGUGAAAAUUGACUGGAAUGAAUUGGUGAAGAAGACCACAACUGGGAUUACAAAUGCCAGAGAGUACCAGAUGCUGUGGCGCCAUUUGGCUUAUCACCAUGGUUUGCUUGACAAAUUUGAUGAUGAUUCUGCUCAACCUCUGGUCAGUCCUACUCCCAGAAAUUAGUUCAUUUACUUCUUCAACAACUCUGUGCGCGCGUGUGUGCGUGUGUGAUGUUUAUGUGAAGGACUUGUUCUAUGAUGAUUAUUUGAAUUUGGAGUUACCGAUAUGCUUUUGAGGAACUAUAGGGCAUAUAUUCGAAUUUUUGCUGGUUUUUUCUUUUUUGUUUUCUUUUGAAUCAGAAAAAGAUGUAUGCUUUCUAGGAGUAGUUUAGCCUUUGAGAGAUUUAUAUGUUUAGAAAAUAUAUGGAAUGUCUUAUUUGAACUUGCAUAAUAUUGGCAUGAGAUGAGUUAAAUUGAGUGACAUAGUCAAUGAGAAUUCAUAUGGCCGACCUAAACUUCCUUGGGACUGAGGUGUAGUAGUUUUUCUUGUUGUGAUUCAACAAACCCCUAAACAGGCCCAUAUAGAGCAAAUUGGAUAGUUAAGAUUCAUAUGGCAAUUGCAGUCCGCUUGGGAUUGAUGUGUUGUAGUAGUAGUUUAUUUGAAUUUUUGCAGGUUUUUUUCUUUCUUUUUGUUUUCUUUUAAAUCAGAGAAAGAUGUAUGCUUUCUAGGAGUAGUUUAGCCUUUGAGAGAUUUAUAUGUUUAGAAAAUAUACGGAACUUCUAAUUUGAACUGCAUAAUAUUGCAUGUGUUAAAUUGAGUGACAUAGUCAAUGAGGAUUCACAUGGCCGACCUAAACUUCCUUCGGACUGAGGUGUAGUAGUUGUUGUUGUUGUGAUUCAACAAAUCCCUAAACAGACCCAUAUAGAGCAAAUUGGAUAGUUGAGAUUCAUAUGGCAAUUGCAAUUAGCUUGGGAUUGAUGUGUUGUAGUAGUAGUGGUUGUUGAUUUGGUAGAUGGAAGAGAAGAAAAUGUAGAGAGAUUCAGCAUGGUGCUCACUGAACCUCCGAAAUAUCUAACAAGUCGAGUCUCAUGUUGGUCAUAUAGAACGCCAAUACAUAGAAAAGGGGCUGAAGAAACCAGUCUCAUGUUGGUCAUAUAUUAUCAAAUGCUUUUGCUUCUUGUAUAUCUGUUAGUGUAGCAUGGAAGACGUCCUCCCGUGGUCUGUUUCCCUUCUCCAAAUUGGGAUGGAAUGCCGCAACUCAUUAUGUUUUCUGGCUAAAUUUUGGGUCAACUUUGUGCAUAUGUUGCCUAAGCUUGGGAUUAUAAACCUGUGAGCAGCUUCAUUUAUCUGCUCCUGAGAAGAUCCCUUCUUACUGUUUCAUAUUUUCUACUUAAUAAGUGGCAGCAGAAAAUAAUUAUGCAUUGAAUCCAGUGGUUAUUGUGUUCUGUGUUGAAAGCAUUGAAUAAUGUAUAUUCUCAAAUACUACGUAUUGGUAACUAAUGUAUGGUGGUCGAUAUCCAUUAUCUGUUGCUCAGUGACAUGAAUGAUCCACCUUAUUUUUUGAACUUGCACUGUGAUUUUUUUAUUUUAUGAUUUUAUGGUUUGAUUUUUACUUCUUUGAUGGCAGGAUGAUGAUAGUGAUCUGGAAUAUGAAUUGGAAGCUUUUCCUCCCGUAAGCAGUGAGGCUUCAGCAGAGGCUACAGCAUAUGUGAAGGUAAACGAACAAGACCUGCCCAACCUUAACAGCCGAACAGCUGCAAUUUAAGUAGUAAAUUAGUCUUUUUAUUUCUGCAGCACAAUAUGCUUCUAGGUGAAGGUCUAACAGAUUUCCCAAAACUGCUGAAAUUUCUUAAGUCAAUGAACUGUGCUGAUGGCUUUACAUUUACCUGUGAAGGAUCUUGAAUUUAGUCCAUUACACAUAUGAUGAAAUACAUAAAUGGGUUAAGAACGAGAUAUUAUUCCUCAGGUCUGGGAAAUGCACCUCUAAGGCGAUAACUACUUUUUGACAAGCUCAUUUUGCAUGGUUUCGAAAUGGAAUUAGUAUGUGGCUUGCAUUGGUUAUUUAUGUAUUUGGACUUGCUUUUUAUUUUUGAGACAAAUUUGCACUCGCUUUUAUUUGACUAUGCUAGGAUGCCAUCCUCUACCCUUAAGUGCAUACUCCUACCUAUUAGUAGAAUUAAUUGCUGAUUUUCAGGGUGAUACGCAUGCUUCUCUCUUUUGUCAUACAGUCAAUUUUUGUUGCUUUGGGCUUGGAUAGGUAUUAAUUGCUUCUGGAGUUCCAUGUGAUUCACAUAUGUCAAAUGGAAAUACUAUUGAAGCUCCAUUGACUAUAAGCAUACCCAAUGGGCAAACCUCCGGAACCGCUACAGAAAAUUCGCUCCAUGGUAUUUCAGCUUAUGGGACGAAAAUUACGGUCCCAGUUUCUGUGGAAAAACAACCACUUCCAUCUGUCACGGCUGCUGAGGUUGUGGACACUAAUGGGUCAGCUAAUUCCAACUUUCCUCCUCGGCGAAGACGAAAGCCUUGGUCUGCAGCAGAAGAUAUGGAACUCAUUGCUGCAGUACAAAAGUGUGGUGAAGGAAAUUGGGCAAAUAUAUUGAAAGGGGAUUUUAAGGGAGAUAGAACAGCGUCACAACUCUCUCAGGUUUAAUCUUCUAUGUACUUGGCAAUUUAUAUGUUCCCUGGUCAUAUUUACACUGUGGUUUAGCAAAUUCUUUUGACCUUGUCCUUAACAGGAGUUCGUACAAGUAUGUGCUGUUCUGCAGAUCGGGAACUUUUCGUUUCUCAUUUGCUUUUCUUUUUAUGAAAGUAAGUUUGAUAGAGGAUAAAUUAACGGCCAAAAGAAAUAUCUUUUGAUAGAGGACAAAAUCAGUCUCUUAUUAUACUGAUAAAUCCUCGCUUGGAGUUAAAAGAACGUUAAUCUUUGGGUUACUUGCAGUUGCAGUUUACUACAUGGAUCUCAUUCAAAUAAUGGCGCCUUCUAAAUGCAGCUAAAUAGUAAAUAACAAGAAAAGAUAUUGUCUAGUGCAGCUAUUUAAUUAAUCUGAGCUUGAACACUUGUUGUUAUUCGUUAACACAUCCUUUUUGAGAAGCAAAAUUCAUGAGCACUCAAGCCAAUAUUACUGAUUGCUCAAGUCUGGACCUAUCAUCAAAAUUUGCAAGGAAGAUCAAUAAAUUGAAAAUAAUCAGUUGUUUUCUGGACGACUAUGGAAAAGUAAAUUGGAGAAGAUUUAAUUGCAAAGUAGUCUCCUGUUUCUAGUUUCUUCUUGAUAUACCCAUGAGGUUCCUAUGUGGAUAGCUGACUGGGUUUUUUCGUAAAGAAUCAUAUUGUAGUGUAUGUUCUGUACCUUUGAUGGGUUAUAUACAGGGUUUCACCCAUCAUUAAUAAAUCAUUUACUUUAUCAAAAUUAAUAACUAGAUUUAAACAAAAACUAAGUAAAAGGGCCUCACCUUGUCAAAUGGUAAAUUUUGUAAGGAAGGUAAGUAUGUCCUCAUUGUGUAUGUUUUUUCCUAUUUUGAACAGUGGAAGCAACUGAAUCAUGGCUGGCAAUAUCCGAAGUUUCACAUUUUAGGUUAUAUUGUUCUCCCACUCACACUUUUUAACUUCAUGGAUGUUAAAGACAUUAAGUUUCAUUGCAAAAGUGGCAAAAUAUGAUGCAAUGUACGUUCUUAACAAUGAUAAAAUGUACCUAUUUAUAUCAUAGCUGCUUUCAUCAGGUGCUUCCCAAUUUCAUUUGUAGUAUUACCUAUAUAGAGGAGGAGGUAUGCCAAAUUUACUAGAAUAAAUUCAGUUUUCUAUGGUUCUAUUUUGCUGUACGAUGGGAUAAUUCUGCUCUCAUCUAUGUGGAUUGAGACUGUAAACCAUUUCCAAUUUUUUAAUAAACUUCUUUUACAGUUUUAGAACAAUAAUCCAAAACUUUGGUCUAGUGAUGUAGCACUGUUAUAUUAAUUUGAGGAUAUCUCGUCCUCCAUUCUAUUCCUCUUCGGUUGUAAUGAAUUUCUUAAGUGCCUGAAGAAGAUUUAGUCGGGAAUGUAAGUUUUAAUCGAGCUAAGUAAAUAUGGUGAAGUAAUGUCCAAAUACCGUUUCUCCAUGUCACAGCCUCAUCAUUUUAAUAUAACUGAACAUUGCUAGUGAUAUCAUGUUCCAAGUCCCCCGUCCCCAACCACCAAACCCCCCAAAAAAAAAGAAAAAAAGGGUACUCACAGAUAUGCCUUGGAAGUCUACCGUCAUCUUGUAUGAUUUGGAUGUCUUGGUUUUCCCAGGUUCCGUUGGUUAAAAUGGUGGAAAGUGACUGAGAUGCCAAAGUAUUUAUUUGUGGAACUAGCAAGAUCUAGAUGUUAACAAAGCAGUUAACGGAACUUGUAAAAUAAUUUCUGCCUGUUAUAAGAUCUUCUGCAAUGUAAAUCUACUUUAAAAUAAUGAGUAUUUCAUUGUGCAGAGAUGGGCAAUUAUUAGAAAGCGACAUGGGAACAUGGUGGGGAAUGGCUCGCAGCUGUCGGAGGCUCAGCUUGCAGCUCGUCAUGCAAUGUCCCUGGCUCUCGGUGGUAACUUGAGAGCAGCUUGUCCAAUCAGCACUAAUGGUAAUUGUCUUAACUGUAUGCCAUCAAUAAUGUCCAUAUGUCUGCUCCCACACUACUGUGAGAGAAUGGAAUUUAAAAAAAAAGAAAAAGAAAAAGCAAGUGGGCAAUACUGCCUAGAUGGGGGCUUUUAAGCGUGUCAUGUGAUAAGUGGAACAUCUGAUGUCUUUGACCUAUCGGCGUGUGGUUUAUACAUUGAUUAAAAUUCAACAAUUAGGAGCUAAAAUAUGAAUUCCUUCAAUAUGCUGGUAGGUUGCACUAUGGAAAACCAAGGGUUAAGUCUUUGCAGAUGUAAUGAAAUAUGAUCUUAAAGGUGUAACUUCAUUUACUUCCUUUCCAAGAAGACUUUUGACAAUCCAAACUCCAAAUGGUAAUUUCUGCAUGCACAAUAUCUUUAGAAAACAACAUUUCUGUGCUAAGUGUGGAAUCGGGAAUUCAAAAUCUUUUGUAGCAAUUCUGUUUUCCAGCAUUAUGCCGAGAUAUUUUUAGAUGGUUCCCAGAAUCUUCCCUUUCUUGAUUCCGCCUUUGUGUAUUGUAUAUUACUUGUGUACAUUGAAUAUCCAAAGUUAACUUACUCACCUCCCCAAUUGUUUCAUCCAUUUAUGCAGGCUCUAAUUUUAACCUAAAUUGUGGUAUUGUUUCAGUGGGGCCCAAUUCAGGCAGUGCACCAAGUAAUUCUUUGCAUUUUCCUGCUGCCAAUAAUGCAUCUGGUGGUCCAAUAUCCGAGCAUCAGCAAGAUUUAGUACCUUCAGAACCUCGAGUAAUCCCAAAAAAUCCGUUGCCAAAACCUGCUAUUAACCCAGAUUCAUUGGUCAAAACUGCUGCUAUGGCUGCGGGCUCCCGAAUUCCUACCCCUUCAGGUGCUGUUGCCUCACUGCAGAAGGCUGCAGAGUCUAAAAAAGUCGUACAAAUUAUGCCCGGAGGAACUCCAGCAGUCAAAUCAUCUGUGCCAGGUAGCACUAAUGGUUUGCCCAGUAAUGUGCACUUCAUUCGAAAUGGCCUGGUUUCUCGUCCCCCAGGUUGCAGUCCGUCAAAUGCUUCACAAUCUGCAGUUCGACCUAACCGAGGGGCUGUCCCAUCCAGAACAAAUGUGUCAUCUGGGGUUCCCGCUGCCCCUACAUCUUCUUCAGCAAGGGUACUUGAAGCAAACACUAAAGCAGUCGCUAUCCAAGAAAAUCCAACUGCUAUUCUGUCUAAUGCACGGAUAGAGAAAGUUGAAGUUGAUCGAGCUGCUUCAAUGGAUGCACAACAACAGGUCCGAAGAGAUCAAACUUUUGGUUCAAGCAACUUGUUGACAGAGAAAAUUGAAGGUCAAACUUCAAUUUUAGGUCACACAGUGAAAGAACACGGAGGAGAGAGUAAAGCUUCAAGAGUUGGGGCUCAAGAAAAGCUAAUCCCAAGUCUAGAGACUGCCAGCAAUAAUAGCAUCAGGAACCAGGGUGAGAAUAGCAAUAAGAAUGAGAACACUAAAAUAGUUUUGGCACUUGAAAGUAGUGGUUUUCAAGGUCCGGCACCUGAGACAUGUAAUAAAUUCUUCAAAGAGAGUUGAGGUAGGGGAUUUAGGUGAGGCACUGAGGAUCGGGGAGAGUAAAAUGGAGUGACUGGCCGGAUGUGCCCUGUAUGUAAUGUCUAAUUCGCACCUGCUGUUUUGUGCUUCAGCUUUCAUCUAUAUAAAUGUAUUCUCCUAUGGUCUUGUCUAUAUUUAGAUGACAAUUCAAAAUUCUUUUAUACGUUCCCUUGUUGAGCGUUGAUUAUCUCCGGGUGGUUGUUAUUUUUUGUAAGUAAUAGUGGCAUAUCUCUAGCCGAGGGUCUAUCAGAAAUAGCGCUUCUCCCCUUCCAAGGUAGGGGUAAUGCUGCGUACAUCUUAUCCUCGUGUGCAUUCGAAUCGGUUUAUCGAUAAAUCGAAUCGAUUAUUUGUUAUCGGUUUAUUGAUAUCAGUUUAUCGGUUUAUCGAUUCGAUUUCGAUUUCAAAAAAUUUUCCUUAUCGGUUUAUCGAUUCGAUUUCGAUUUUUGCCAUUCGGUUUAUUGGUUUAUCGAUAAAUCGAUAAGAUAUAGUAAAAAGAUAAAUAUACCCUUAUUUUAUAAUAAUAUUCAGUGCCUAACCCUUCGCAUAUAUACUGCUAUACAAUAAAUUACUUACAGAAUUGGCUAACCCUAACCUGCGCAGCUUCUUCUUCAUCUUCUUCCUCAUUUUCUCUUCUUCUUCCCCAACAAACAUUAAGCUCGUUUAAUUACUUUUGAUUUUUCGGGAUUUUCACAUAUAUACUGCUAUACAAUACAUUAGUUACAGAAUAGUACUACUACUUUGGCUAACCCUAACCUGCGCAGCUUCUUCUUCAUCUUCUUCCUCAUUUUCUCCCAAACAUUAAUAAGAAACAUCGCCGCUCUCUCCCACUUUGAAGUGCUUUUUGUAAGUUCUUUUCAUAUUUCAGGUCAGCUUUAUUGUCAUUUUUCCCCAAUUUCUUUUUUUCCCCAAUUUGUUUCGGUUAUAAUUUUUUAUAUAUAUUCUAAGUGGCUAUUUGUUAUUAUUAUUUUACAUUGGUCAUUUAUGUGAAACACGAUUAUUUUGUGGCAACUCAAGUGUUUGGGAAGAUUUAGUUCUUUAACCAUAAAAUGUUUAUCUGGCUUCUGAUCUUAGCUGUCUGUAGAUUUCUAUAGUUGAUCUUACCUUUAGAUGCCUCUGUUAUGCACAUCACGUAAAGCGGGAUAAAGAUAAAUUUGCAAGUAGAAGCAGAAAAUGUAUGUUUGUGGGAUACCCAUUCAAAAAGAAAGAAUGGAGAUCGUAUGCUGCAGAGAGAGAUAAAUCUUUCUUAUCUGUCUUGUUAUAAGAACUUUAAUAAGAAUACAUUUAUUUUGGUAGUAACGUUUAAGUUCAUAAGACAAUCAAUUGUAUUUCUUCUCUUAGUCUUACAUCAAGUUAAGUACAUUUCAGUUUUAAUUUACCUCGAAAACCAUAUGAAAGUAAAUAAGAUUAUCCUUGAAUAGAAACAGAAACAGUUUUGGCAUUUUGAGCUAAAAACGAAAAAAAAAAAGGGAAAAAAGCUUGGCUUCAUACUUUACUAUUUUUAGAAAAUCAUGGAUGCAUAGAAUCUUUUUUCUUUUCUUUCUUUCAAAAGCAUUAUCAAUUUGAUAUACAUGUCUAUUCUAUUGUAUGAACCAUAUUAUAUUCUUUAUAGUACCAUAAAGAUUUAAAACACAAUAUUAUUAAAGAUUUGCUCGCAAUGUACAGUUUUGAAUCGUAAAUAUAAUUUCUUCAUGAAAUAUUAAUCUAUAUUUAUAUUUAUACUAUAUUAGAAGUACGAAUAUACUUAGUGACAUAUCGUUCGUCUUUUAUCCUUUAAAAAUAAUUUUCACAGUAAACUUACAUUUGAUUAUUUUUCUAAUAUAAAGGACUUCAAAAUCAAAUAAUAUUCUGCUUAUUAAAUCUUUCGUUUGUUUGGAUCGUGUAAAAAUUCAUAAUAUUUAGGAUUUUAAAUUUAAUAUAAAUUUUAUUUUGUAUAAAAAAUUUCUUAUUUGACCAACAUUUAUAUCCUUAUGCACGGACUUAAUUCUUUUUUGGAGUUUAAUACGUGGCACUUACAUUUUUAAUGUUCUUAGAUUCUUUCCCCAAAUAUUAACAUAAUAGAAUAUCUAAAAAUCAGAGGAAAUCAGCAAUGCAUGUUCUUUUUCGUUUUGACUUUUAAGAGUUAACUAGUAUUAAAAUCUGUGGGACGUGCGAAUAAUAUUAAAAAGAAUAUUAAUCAUAUUAUUUUAAUAAAAUUAUCUACUUUAAUGCAGUAUAAUCAAAACUAAAGUAAUCAAAUUAGAGGAAACUAAUUAUAUAGCUUUAAUUAAUUUUUGUAUUUAUUAUUUUAAUUUAUUACAUUAUUGGCUAUUUCGUAUUAUUACAUAGAUAUAAAAGCUUUUAUUAAUAUGUUAGUAUCUUUGUCCAUUACUCCAUUUUAUAUAUCGAUAUACAUUUUUAUUUCUCCUAUUUUUUUAAUCUUUUUUUCUUAUAUCGUUAACAGAUUUUCGAAUAUUUAAUAUAUAAAUAAAAUUUUCAUAUUUCCUACAUUAUUUUAUUUUUAAAAUUUCUGUGCCCUAGUUUGUAUAAUUUUUAUACUAUGACGUUUUAAUUAGUUUAGACAAGAGGGGUUGCUCUAAUGGUAAGCAACCCCCACUUCCAACCGAGAGGUUGUGAGUNNNNNNNNNNNNNNNNNNNNNNNNNNNNNNNNNNNNNNNNNNNNNNNNNNNNNNNNNNNNNNNNNNNNNNNCCCAAGAGCAAGGUGGAAAGUUCUUGGAGGGAAGGAUGCCGAGGGUCUAUUUGGAAAUAGCCUCUCUACCCAAGGGUAGGAGUAAGGUCUGCAUACACACUACCCUCCCCAGACCCCACUAAGUGGGAUUAUACUGGGUUGUUGUUGUUGUUUUAACUAGUUUUCCUUAUUUACUUUGUUGUCUAAUGUUUUAAUGUUUAUUAUUUUGUAUUACGUCUAUUAACGUAUUGUUUUAUAUUUUAUUUUAAUUAUUGAAAAUUUUCUACAUGAGAAAUUUCUUUCUAUUUUUAACAUUUUACCAUGUUUUUUUUUUUGUAAUUAAGUUGUUGUAUUAAUCACCAAAGAAAAUUCUUUACAUAACUAUAGUCCAGCUACACACAGGUGACUAUCACAAAAAGAGAGACGUAGCCAACAUCUAUUUACUAUGCCUCUAUUUCUAAUUACAAUCUAUAUAUAUAGAGAAAAGUAAUAGCUACACUUAUUAAAUUUUAAUGAACUCGUUCUUUUUGCAGUAAUUAUUUCAAUUAAUUGGAUCCAUUUGAUGCAUUGUUCCUUAAAAUAGAGCUCCAAAAACUGUGAAUAGCUUCUUUGUAAUAUAAUAUGGCAUUGAUUAUCUCCGGAGUUAUUUUCUCAUUAGUAUAUCCAAUGAAAGAACAUGAUUUGAAAUUGUAUAUAUGUUUAGAAAUGAUGUCGAAUUGAAUUGUACUUCGUCUUUACUGUGACUUAAUUCUCAUUUGCUUAUUUUCAAAGCCUUUUUAUGCAUUUUUUUUUGCUUUUGCAAAUAAUAGAAGAUGUUAUUUGUAUGGUAUGCUUAGAAUACAAUUAUUCAAUUUUUUUACUACUUCUCUUUAUUUAAAUAGUAGUAAUUUAACAGUACAAAGUUAUUGAUCAUUUAGAAAAAUAAAGGUCAAAGUUAAACUUAAUUUUAUUCUUCUUUUUGUCAUUUAUUUUUUGCCUUCUCAACCGAUUGAAUUUUACUGAAUCAUCGAAUUCCUAGCUAUAAAAUAAGAGUCAGAAAAUAAAUUAACUUUAAGAGUUAGAUUAAGUAUUGCAUAAUGCAACAACGAACUAACAUGAUUUAAAAGAUUGAAAAAAUUAUAUUCAUUCUAGUUUGAAACGAGGAAUUAUUUUUUAUUUGUGAAAAGCAACAAUAUACAAUAAAUGAUAUUACAUAUCUCGAAUCUCAUUAAGUAAAGUCAAUAAUAAAAAAAUAUAUAAUAAUAAAAGUCUUCUAGCAACAUUUUACCAUGUUGCUAGAAGACUUUUAUUAUUAUAUUUUUUUUAUUAUUGACUUUACUUAAUGAGAUUCGAGAUAUGUAAUAUCAUUUAUUGUAUAUUGUUGCUUUUCACAAAUAAAAAAUAAUUCCUCGUUUCAAACUAGAAUGAAUAUAAUUUUUUCAAUCUUUUAAAUCAUGUUAGUUCGUUGUUGCAUUAUGCAAUACUUAAUCUAACUCUUAAAGUUAAUUUAUUUUCUGACUCUUAUUUUAUAGCUAGGAAUUCGAUGAUUCAGUAAAAUUCAAUCGGUUGAGAAGGCAAAAAAUAAAUGACAAAAAGAAGAAUAAAAUUAAGUUUAACUUUGACCUUUAUUUUUCUAAAUGAUCAAUAACUUUGUACUGUUAAAUUACUACUAUUUAAAUAAAGAGAAGUAGUAAAAAAAUUGAAUAAUUGUAUUCUAAGCAUACCAUACAAAUAACAUCUUCUAUUAUUUGCAAAAGCAAAAAAAAAUGCAUAAAAAGGCUUUGAAAAUAAGCAAAUGAGAAUUAAGUCACAGUAAAGACGAAGUACAAUUCAAUUCGACAUCAUUUCUAAACAUAUAUACAAUUUCAAAUCAUGUUCUUUCAUUGGAUAUACUAAUGAGAAAAUAACUCCGGAGAUAAUCAAUGCCAUAUUAUAUUACAAAGAAGCUAUUCACAGUUUUUGGAGCUCUAUUUUAAGGAACAAUGCAUCAAAUGGAUCCAAUUAAUUGAAAUAAUUACUGCAAAAAGAACGAGUUCAUUAAAAUUUAAUAAGUGUAGCUAUUACUUUUCUCUAUAUAUAUAGAUAUUCUAAAGAGUAUUUUCUAUCUUAUUAAUCACCUGUUAAAUCAAAAUUGUCAAAAUAAAUGAUAGAUGAUAUUAUAAAAUAUUUUAUUGAUAAUUUAAAUACAAUAAUUAUCUGUAUUUAUAUAUAACAUAUACACAUUAUCCUAUUAUGAACAAUACAGAAUGCCUUCAUUUUAUAUCAACUUGAGGAACUUUAUAAUAUUCAAAUUCAAAAGAAAAUCUUAUUAAUUACUUUUAAGAACAAUAUCAUGGUUAUAUAAUUUUCAAAGCUUCAUAAAUAAGGAAGAAAACAAGAAUUCAUUGUACUACCACUGCUUCAAUGGGAAAAGUAAUACAUUAAAGAUUGUAUAACUUUUAGAUGGACCGGACUUGCUUUCUCAUUACCAAGAAGAAGAGUAUAUAUACAUGAGUUUAAGCUCGUAUUCCCAAAAAUCUUUCCUAAGAAUAUUCUAAUAAUAUCAUAUUCCUACAAUAUAUCAUAUAGUAUUACAUCUCUAACAAAUAUAGAUACACAAUAUAUAAAUAUUAUAUUAACAUAUUUUCAGAUCUUGAUUCAUAAAAAAGAAAUCCAACAACAAAGAAGCACGAAGAAAAAUCAAUAAAAUCUAUAAUUAUUUUUAUAGUAUCAUAAUGCUUCUUUCAAUGAAACUUGAUUUUUGAAUCUCAAUUCAAAAAAAGAUUAUCUUUCAAUUCAAGAUUUAAGAUUUCAAUUCAAAAAAUUUAUCCUUCAAUUUAAAUUUUCUUUAUAUCGAUUUAAAUAUGUUUUAAUCUAAAUUCAAUAUGUUUAUUAUAGUGUUUAUUAACUUUUACUUUAACUUUUUCUUAUCACACCACAUGACGUGGUUGAUUACCUUGUUAUUCUUAAUUAAUUAUUUGAGUAAUUUAUUUAACUCUAUUUUUCUUUAAGGAUAAUAGUCUAAAAGAUAUGUAAGAGGUAGCCAGUUUAGGAGUUUUUUUUCCUUAAAGAUAAUAGUCUAAAAGAUAUAAGAGAUAUGCCAGUUUAGGAGUUUUUUUUCCUUAAAAAUCAUUUUUCAAGACAUUUGCAAGAUUCAUUUCAAAAAAUUUUUACUUUAUCAUAUAAAGCCUGCAUGAACAAACAUUUGAAAUUCAAUAAUUUAAAUAUAUCACAUGAUUCUACAAAAAUAUUUUUAGCUCUAAAGUAAAAUUUAUAAUAAAUAGUUUUAAUUAAUAAGGGAUCGUUGGAUAUGAACUAUCGAUUUUAUAAGAUACAAAAUAUUUAUUUAAAUAUUUUUUUCCUUAAAGAAAAUAUCUACCAUAAUUGAAUUACACAAAAAAUUUAAUUAAAGAUAACUAUAAUAAUGUAUAUUAUUCACAAAUAAGGUUAGAUACAUAACUUGUACAAAAUAAAAAAUUAUUAUUUCAACUUAAAAUUAGUGUGUAAGAUAAUGAAAUUUUAAUUGAUUUUUGCUCAAAAAAAGAUACCUACCAUAAAAUGAAAUUUUAAUUUUAAUUGAUUUUUGUUAAAACUAUCGAUUUUAACUGAAGUAUACACAAAUUUAAGUAAACAUAUCUAUGGAAGAUCUUGGACUACUACUUUCAUUAAAUAUUUUUCCAUUUAUAAUCUAAAUUUUUUAUGUUUUAAAAUUACCUAGUAGCUUCAUUUCAACUUGCCACUUGGCUUAACUACAUUGCAAAGUACUCCCUUUUUAAUAUAAUAUAUAUAGAUUUAAUUCUAAGUGUAAAUUUCUAGAAGUUUAAACUAACUUGGUAAUGUUAAUUUAAAAAAUAAAUCGAGCCACAACCAUAACAUGUAAAGUUAUAACUACAAUCAUUAAUUUAAUAUAUUGAUAAACUAAUAUAUUUGGACCUUUAAAAUAACUACAAAGUUUUUAUUAUUUCACAAGAAGAGGUCCACUUAACAUACAUAUAUUUUCAAUGAACUUUGAAUGAAACAAAAAAAAAGUAAUUAGGUUAAAAACAGCAAAUUCUGUCACCAUGCUUAAAAAGAUAUAGAAAUAUCAAAGAAAAAGGGUUUAAUACUUGGUUCAAACCCGAGAAAAGGAACAACGAAAAAUUCAGAGCACAUUUUAAACUUUAUUUUUUAAACAUAUAGUAUUUAUUUUAGAAUCUUGAUAAAUUAAAAUUAGAUUUUAUCAUUUUAUUCUCCAGAAAAAUAAAAAGCAGAUUUAGCAUAAAAAUUUUAUACUCCAUUUUAUAUCUACUGGAAUAGUGCGCACUCUCUUUUAAUUAAUAAAAAAUUAUUUUUUUGUAUAAUAAUAUUAUGAAUAUAGAGUUAUUAAAGAGAAGUUAGUUGAGGUACUUAACAUAAUAUAGUUGUAAUUUAUAUAAUAAAAUAUCUAUUAACCACAAAAUAUUAUACAACUAAUUCAUCAUUUUUACAUGUUCAGAAGAUAUUUAAAUUCACAAUUAUAGUUUCAAUCUAAUCAUUCUUAUUUUUCUGAUCCAAAUUAAUAUUUGAUUUAUCAAUUCUUAUUUUUAACAGUUUCUCUUUGUUGUAUAAAUUUAUACUGAUUAACAUAAUGCACACGUGCGUUAGCACUAAAACUAGUAUUAUAAAAAUUUCAAUUUGUAUCUUAAGAUCAUUUAUAUUGAAUAAAAGUUUGUCAAUUACCAUCUAUGCAUUGAAGGAGCUAAAACACCAUCUUUUCUAUAUAUCCACCUUUUAAUAAUAUAUUAGUAAAAUUCUAUUGACGAGUAUAAGUUAUUGAAAACGAAUACGAACACAUUCAUUACUUUUUUGAUCAAGCCAUAUAUAUAUAUAUACACAUAUAUAUAUAUAUAUAUAUAUAUAUAUAUAUAUACACGUGCGCACGUCUAUUUUUAUUAGUAGAUUACUUAAAAUUAGUAAACCGUUAUAAUAAAUUAGUUGAGAUCGUAAAAUUUUUUUGUUUAACCAUCUGAGAACUAAAGUCUGGCUAAUUCGAAUUGGUGCUACGUAGAGAAAAUUCUUCGAUCAGUAAUUUUUUAAUUUUUAUAACUUAAAACCGAAACAUCGGAUUAAAAGUGAAAAUAUCCCAUCAUAUUCUUGUGGAGAAACAAGAAAAGAAAAAGAAGCUGGUCAAACUUGUUUCCAAAGAGAAGCAAACAAAGGACACAAUCAAAAAAUGUCACAAUUUCUUACUUUUUCCCUUAUUUAAGUACAACUAAGUAGCCCACGAGCUACUUAGUUUCUUAAUAUAUAUUUUCCCGUUUGCUCUAGAAAAACCUUUUUAAUGGAAAAAUGCAAAAAUUAUCAAAACGGCUACACUGGUCGGAGACCCCAUUCCAGCCAUCUUCCCCCNNNNNNNNNNNNNNNNNNNNNNNNNNNNNNNNNNNNNNNNNNNNNNNNNNNNNNNNNNNNNNNNCCCCCCCCCAAAAAAAAAACCCCCCAACCCGCAUCGCCGCUUCUGCUUCUCACCUUCAAGGACCCAUAUCCAGCCAACCGUGGAACCCUAGGAGAAGAAAAUUAGGGCUUUGGAUUUCUAGAUUCCUUUUUCUGAUUUUAGUUCUAGUUGAUAUACAUCAAAAAAAAAAAAAAAAUCAGUUCUGCUAGUUUGGAUACUUACUCAAAAAUUGAAAAACGCAUCAAAAAAUAAUUUUAGUUUCUGUUUUUGAUCUUUUAUCAUUGAGUUGGACGGAGUCGAAAGUUGCUGUUUGGAGUCUCUGUUAGUGUCGAGCUUUCGCCGUUUGUGGUUCGGGUUGAAGUGCGGUUUGUGUUGCUUGUUUUGGUUUCACACGCUAUUUGGAUUUGCAUAGGCGGAUUCAGUUGUACCUCUUCAAAUCAUCCUAUUUAAUAUUAAGGAGAGAAGUCCAACAGGUUCAUCUCAUUCUCUUUUCUUCUUACAUCUAAGAUCAUGAAUCAAAUAUUAGUGACGGGUGGAGUUUGUUGGUUCAUCUUGGUUUAAUUUGUGCUGUUAGUACUGUUGUUCCCUCUGUAGUUUCUUUUGAUGAGUUUGUUUCUUGAAGUUUGAGUCAUAGUUCAUUUUGUUUGGUUUCCAUCUUGCUGCAGUACAUCAUAAGAAUUCUUAUUGAUUGUUUAAAGUAUUUGUCUCUGCUUGUGUUUGGUCUAGCCUUGAAUCCGAUGGUAAUUUAGGGCUAUAAGGAUGAUCCAGUUUACUUGAUUUCUAGUUGUGCUUUGAUUUCUAGUUAUGCUUCUUUGAAAUCCGAGGAAUUCAAUCUCUUCGUCCAUUAUUUUGUUUUUUUUGCGUUAACUGAGUUGGAUUGGAUUGGAUCUCCGAGUUAUUGGAACUAGGGAUCUGUUGGAUGUGUUGUUAAGCUUACCUCAUGCUGAUUCCUUUAGCGGUGCUUUGUGCUCUCAUCUCUGAUAGUAGUAUUUUUUAUUUUUAGGUAACGUUUAAUCGUCUUCGCCUUCUUCUUCGAAUCUGUUUCAGCUGUCAGAUUGUUGGGUUUCUGUUUGUUUAGAGUGAUUUUCUAGGAGGAAGAGUUGAUCGUGAAUUAUGGAAGAAAGCCAUGAUUUAUAGCUGGUUUCUUUAGGUUGAGGGGUAUUUUUGACCGCAAAAGAUUUAUUUUUCCUAUGAGCCGGAGGUUCCUAUGAGACGGGGGUCGAUUGGAAACAGCCUCUCUGCCCUUUCGGGUAGGGGUAAGGCUUGUCUACAUAUUACCCUCCCCAGACCCCCCCUAGUGGGAGUAUAAAAAACCUUUUUAAUGGAAAAAUGCAAAAAUUAUCAAAACGUCUACACUGGUCAAUAGUAUAUCGUUUUGUUUCGUACUCUCUCCCUCUCUGUGGGUGGAAGUUUUGGUUUUUCCUCUUCCAUUUUUUGUUUCUCAUUCGUAGCCCAUCCGUUCUGUUCUUCAGCUUUGCCUCCAUACGUCGUCGCUUGCCUUUAAUUCCGCCGGUGACCGGUAAGUACUAUUAGGGUUAGGUGUAUCGACGAAGUAGCUGAUUCUUGCAUAAAGAUAAUGUCUUUGAGCUUAUAUUAAUGGGUUUGGAUUGUUUCCUGACUUUUUUGUGAACUGGGUUUUUGUUUCUUAGUAAAAUAAGCAUUUGAACUCUGGAAAUUUUUAGAAUAUGGACUACACCUUUUGCUAUGCAAUGACAUAUCUUGUUUCUUAGCUUCCAUUGAUUUUUCUGUACUGGGUUUCUGUUAGCAGUUGGCAUUUGAAAUUGAAAGAGUGUGAUACUAUAGUUGAAAGUUCUUUGUAUAUGGCUACACCGUAUGUCAUGCUCCGUUAAUUCUUGUUUCCUCUUUGAACAUUGAUUUUCCUUGAAUCUGAUGGAAGAAUAAUUGCAACAACUUUAUUUUCCAACAACCGGAAAUAAAUUAUUGUAGCAUAAAGCAAUAACCAGUUUUGCUUCUUUGGAUUGUGAAGUAUUAGAAGAAAAUAGAUUACCAAAUAAACAUCAACAUAUAAUAAAAUUUCUUUCUUUCUUGGCCUUUGUUUCCUAUAACUUAUCAUCUGUUCAAUUCCAAGUGUGUUGCCCUCCUAUGCUUCUUAAUUGAUGUUCUGAAAAUACAUAUCUUGCUUUCUUAUAUCCAAACCACCACCAAUAACAACAUACCCAGGAAAAUCCCACUAGUGGGUUCUGGGUAGAAUGUAGGCAAACCUUACCUCUACCCUGGAAGGGUAGAAAGGCUAUUUUCGGGAGACCCCUGGCUCAACAGAAAAGACAAUAAUAUCAGAAAAGAAACAAAAGAAAAGGUCUGUCGCAACAAAAGAAGCCAGAAAGUCUUACAUCCCAAACCAGCACUUUUUAUUUGCCAUUAGCUCUUUUUGGGGCUUAUAUGUGGUCAUACUUCAUAUAACAGUCAUUUGUUAAGGGGACAUCAGUGAAAUGAUCUCUAUUCUUGUCAAUUGGUGCUUCAAAUAUGUUUAAAUACUGUUUACUUCUAUAUGCUUACUAGUUAUUCCUCCAAACAAUAGCCUCAUGUUAGUUAAUAUGUUCAGGUUCUUUUGCCUUCCGGUGAAUAUAUGUGCGGGUUAUUUAGCCAUUGUCAUUGUUUCUGAUAGGUGCAAAAAGGCGAGGCAGCCACUAUAACAUAGUGGCCUCCAGGAGUGCAGGUGACCAGUAAAGUGUAUUAGCUAGCUGUCACUGGAGAGUGUUAGCUUGCCACAGGAACAGGAAGUACUAUGAUUGCUGCUUUUCAACUCCAUUAAACUGUACUAUAUUCUUCUUAGUUGGCUCAGCGCACGGGCCAAUGGCAGCUAGUUUAUAUAACUCAAUGUGCUUAUUUUCUAUUGAAUAUCAACCUGCUGCCUCUCCCAAGACCUGAAAAGCCACAGUCAAACUGCACAAAAACAAUAAAGAAGGUGAUGGCGAUGAUCGUCAGGAGAAGCAGGAACUCUGUAUGUCUCUUGCACGAAGUCCUCUCUUCCAGCCACUCACUUCCCUGCUCAUACAUCCAGAGGCAGACCUAUGUAGAUGUGUAUGAAAUGGAAGAAAGACUCUGUUUUUGACUCCAUCCUCUUCCGGCCACUCACUUCCCUGCUCAUACAUCCAGAGGCAGACCUAUGUAGAUGUGUACAUGAAAUGGAAGAAGGACUCUUUUUUUGACUCCAUUGAUACCAUUCACAGAUCAGUUCAACUCAAGCCUUUAAUUUCUCUCAAGAACUGCAUAGUCUCCUCUUCACCUGAUGAUUAUUGCGUUCCCAUUUCUGCAAUUUCAAAGAAGGGCUUAGAGUUAGGAAUACCCGUUAAGGUUGCCCGGUUCUUGAGGUUGUACCCAUCUGUUUUUGAGGAAUUUACUGGCCCUAAAUACAAUUUGCCUUGGUUUAGGCUGACCCAGAGGGCUGUUGAGCUUGAUAGAGAGGAGAGAGAGGUGUAUGUAAAAUUUAAAGAUGAUAUCGUUUCGAGGCUGAAGAAGUUGAUACUGAUGAGUGGCAGGGAAAAGAUGCUUCCUUUAAAGGUAAUUCAGGGUCUGCAAUGGUAUUUGGGUUUACCCGAUGAAUUCUUAAGGAACCUAGAAGACAAUCUUGAUAAUUGUUUCAGACUUGUGGAAAUGGAAGAUGGAUUGAAAGGGCUAGCUGUUAAUGUCGAUGGAAGUGAGAGUUUUUUAUCGAUGAUGCAGAGGAAUGCAAUGAGGAGAGGAGUGUAUAGUGGUGUAGAGGGUGAGGUGCUAGAAUUACCAUUAUUUCCGUCAAAGGGAUUGAGACUUAAAAGGAAGAUUGCAGACUGGUUUGAUGAGUUUCAGAGGAUUCCAUAUGUUUCACCCUAUGAGGAUUAUUCUGGUUUGGAUCCAAAUAGCGAUAUAGCAGAAAAACGAGUGGUGGGUGUGCUUCACGAGUUGCUUAGUUUGUUUGUUGAGCAUGCUGCAGAAAGGAAAAAGCUUUUGUGUCUUAGGAAACACUUAGGUUUGCCACAAAAAGUUCACAAGGCAUUUGAGAGGCAUCCUUAUAUCUUCUAUUUGUCAUUGAAUAAUAAGACUUGCACCGCAAUACUAAAAGAAGCUUACUGUGAUAGAGGGGCUAUAGAGCAACAUCCUUUAGCAAAAGUGAGGAAAAAAUACAUCAGUUUGAUGAAGGAGUCGGAGGGUAUACUGAAACGUAAAAGGUUAAACAAUAGACCACAUGAUCAGGGUAACAUGAAUAUUAAGGAUUUGGAUUAUACAGAUGACGAAGAAGUGAAACUGCAACAGAGUAGCUCUGCUCUUUGAGGGUUGCAGCUAAAACAACUUCUUCUUUUUUGUUUUGAGAAUGGUAACAUAGCUAAAACAAGGUCUUGGAUCUAAAGAAGGACCGUUUCAAGUUGGCAGCGGGGAAAUUUUUUCUUAAUCUGGAACAGCUCCCGAGGUGGGAUAAAGGCAUUUUGGGCAGAAAGGUGGACAUAGCGCGUGGAUUCUGCACUUCUCUCAUUUGUUAAUGGUGAUUCCAGUAUGAUGGCACUGACCGCAGAAAAUGCAAAGGGCACAUAGCAUGAUGUAUUAUCAAUGGAGUCUCAAGUCUUAAACAAGAGUACACGAUUUGCUCGCGAGAUACAUUAUUAGAUGGUUGAUAUGCUCUAUCUCUAUAUCCGAAAGACACAAUGCUACAUGUAUGAAGUGAUGUUGGAUAGUUAUUGAGCUCACUGUAUCUCAUUGUUUUCUCAGACAUCUAAUUUAAAUUUUCUUUUCCUUUGCUUCAUGCUUUCAUUGUUUGAACCGUGGCCUGUGACUUGUGAGAGUGAGACCUCAACAUGCUGACAAUCACUUGUGGAUUUAUCAGUUACAUAUGAUACGUCUACUUAAGAAGGCCAAUUCCAACAGUAGGAACAAUUAAAGCAUUUUCUUGAUCAUUUUGCUUCACUAGAACAAUUAAUUACCAUGCUAGCUAGAAGAAAUUCAGAUAGUCGAGUGUCUUGACUUUGUGGAAAGAUGGAGGUCUCAAGUGAAAAAAAAAGAAGAUAAAGCUCUGGACCUCCAGAAUUCUUCUCAAAAUAAAAAAGAAUGUAAAUGCUUGUUGUAACAAAUGAGAAACCAGACCUACUAGAAAGGGACUAAUCCAAGCACUAAGCUUGAAAUGACUGCAUACAGUAUUGCUUAUAGCAAGAGCAAGUUUGCUCUAACACAACGUGUCAUAAACUGUUACUUCCAAUUUGAUUUUUAUUGUCUGUUUUUUCAAAUGUAUAGCUCUUCAGUUAAGCGUACACAAUUCCCUGAUUCUAGAGCUAGGAUCUUUUGGUACCUUGAUAAUCCUUUUUUUUGGGAAAGGUACUUAAGAUAAUAUUUUGAGAUGAUAAUGAAAUCCACCCCUCCUUUUUCCGCUGACACUCUUCUUGAUUCUUGUAUGCAGUUUAGACUGUAUACUUAUAGCUGAAAUGCAUCCACUUCAGAUUAAGAUUUCCUGGAGAAAAAAUUCAUACAUCUCCAAAUAAGAAGAAUAAGAAAUUCAUCAACCUCGUAGCAAGAAAUAGCAGACUUAACUUGAGAUAGCAGUAUACUAAAAAACAAAACAAAAAAAGCAGUCCGGUGCACUAGGCUCCCACUAUGCGUGGUUGCAAGAAGCUAUUUUUACGGCUCAAACCCACUAAUCACAUGGCAGCAACUUUACUAGUAUACUAAAACAUGUAAAAAAAAUAGAAGGGCAGGACUGUUGUUUCCAUAAUCGAUAUUCACCAGCAGCAGCAGCAGCAGCAGCAGCAGGAUCUUCAAUAUGUUCCCUAGUCCAAAGGUGUUGCCUCUCCUAAUUAAAAGGGAAACAAAGCACAAUUAAACGUCCACUUUAUAGAAGGGUCUUCAUAAUGUGUUUGAAGAGGAUUCUUAAUUGUUAAAGGUAUACACGAGAUGUAGAAUCUAUGUCUGUCUAUCUUGUCCCUAAAGAACCAGGGAAUGGAAACAAAAGGACAUAUCUUAAGCUAUUUGCAAACGAAAAUUGAUAUGCCAAACCUCCAUUUACAUAUGCUGCAGAAAAAGAACUCUGUAUGAUUAGAGGCCAAGUACAACAUGGUACAGAUCAAGGACUGCUGCAGGCUUUUACCCUUCCCAUCUAAACUCUCCUUGUUCUCUCUGAUGUCAUAUCAAAAUUACAAUGGCAACCCCAGCCAAUAUACAGAGUUUUAACUAUUUUAUCCUGUAGGCAAUGAACAGUGAAUUUCAUUCCUGAUACAAGUUUGAUUCAACUUUGCGUAACCUCUUGAAGCAUCUCUACCACCUUCUUCAUUCUUGGUCGUUUUGCUGGAGUGGUGUCGGUGCACAUUAAUGCUACCUUUAGAGCUGCAAGCAUUUCUUUCCUCCAAGCAAAAGAAUUGGUGCUAAGCCUUGCGUCGAGUAUCUGCUCUGGUGUUUCUCCUCUGGCAGAUGCACCGUGAACCCACCUGACCAAGUCAACUCCUUCACCAAAAGCUUCAUCACCUCUGGCAGAUGCACCAUGAACCCACCUGACCAAAUCAACUCCUUCACCAAAAGCUUCAUCGACAGGUAAUCGAGAAGUAAGGAUCUCGAGCAAAACAACCCCAUAGCUAUAGAUAUUUCCGGGAGCUGUUACUUGCAUGGUAUAUGCAUACUCUGUUGAAGAAAAGGAAUUAGUCAGACACCUUAAGUAUAAUAAAAGAUUAUUAGCUGUUUCUUUCGAGCCAUAGAAUACCUGGAGGAAUGUACCCAACUCUGAAACUCAUCAAACCAGUCUGCAAUCUUCCUUUUAAGUCUCAAUCCCUUUGACGGAAAUAAUGGUAAUUCUAGCACCUCACCCUCUACACCUCUAUACACUCCUCUCCUCAUUGUAUUCCUCUGCAUCAUCGAUAAAAAACUCUCACUUCCAUCGACAUUAACAGCUAGCCCUUUCAAUCCAUCUUCCAUCUCUACAAGUCUGAAACACUUGUCAAGAUUGUAUUCUGGGUUCCUUAAGAAUUCAUCGGGUAAACCCAAAUACCAUUGCAGACCCUGAAUUACCUUUAAAGGAAGCCUCUUUUCCCUGCCACUCAUCAGUAUCAACUUCACAAGUACCCCACUUGUGAGAUAUCACUGAAUUUGUUGUUGUUGUUGUUGUUUGUCAUAUGUAGCUGAGGUACUAGGUUAGAGACUAUUUUUGGUGCUUCCAAAAUGUUGUGUUAAAAAUUCAAUGAACAAGAUUUGAUCAGAAGAACUGCUGCAUCAACAUAUUGUGGCAAUUGAAUGCAGAUUAUAACAAUGGAACCUUGUUUAAAUCUAUAAACUCAGCAAACGUAUUUGAAGUAGGCUUAUUCAAUAUGUGAAACCAGGUCUUAAAGAAAGAGCUGUUUAGUUUGCAGAAAUUGGUGAAUUUGAGAAGAACGAAAUAGUUGAAAAUAACAACAUGGCAAUUCUUUAAUUCACGAGAAAAUCUGGCACUCCUUCUACUCAAUAAAGGCAGGUCACCUCUUUCCCUUUAAUAAAAUUUCAAAUAUUAAGAAUUGACUACAAGAGAGCUAAAGGGGAGAGAAAAGAAGGGGAAACAAGAGACAACUAUUUAGCUACUGCUGCUAAAAAGUCAUCUAUUUUGGUACUGCUGUUAAAUCGCUAUACUGUUUCUGCAAUGCUGGAUUUACACAGGAAAAUAUGGAUGGCCUCUUAUUCUUCAACUUCACUCCAAAGAAGAAGGACCUCAGGGGAAUUAUAGAUCGAGGCCUUGCUUGUUGGUUUUUCAGCCCAAGUUCUUCGUCCAGGUUUGACAAUGUGCUUCGGAUUUCAUCUUGGAGUUUCCAUAUGCAUUCAAUGGCUACUUCGAGUUCACCUGCUAUCUUAUUGUUCUCCUGCUUCAUGUUUAAAAUCUCACCUUGAAAUUUUGCUGCUUGAUAGGCAUUCAGCACUGGAUCAUUCUCUUUAGACCCUGACUUUGACAGUCUUGUUAUCACAUCGAGAAUAUUAGAUAGAGAUGAUAACCUGUGCUGUAAGUCAUCUUUCAGCAUUGCAUUAUGGUCCAACCACAAUGUCACCUCAGUUUGUAUCUCUCUUAGAUGUCUAUAGAUUGGGCGGAUGCCUGAGAGUAGCGACUGUGGUUGACCUGUACCUUGAUUGCAUUCUUCCUUCACUUUCUUUAUUUCAGCUUGUAGAUCCUGAACUGAAGUUUGAAACUUAUGUAGCUGAUGAAAUGAGGUGCUAAAUCUGAGCCACAACUCUAUGUUUUCCUCCAGCAAAUCAUCAAUGUCCAUCCGUACUUUCUCCUCAACAGUGGUGAAGGAGUGUGUUUCAUCAACAUCAGUAACUUUGAUAUCUCCGUCAUCGUCCCCAAUAUCUAAGAUUCUUGUCUCUUCUGGUGCAGUUUCUUCCAUUCUCAUCUCAGUGGAAUGUGAGAGUGCUUUAUCCAAGAACUCUGUUUCAAUAUCUUUUGACUGAAGCAAGUUCAAUCUGUGCUGUAAGGACAGAAUCUGUGCAUCCUUCAAGGCAUUAGCAUUCUUUAGAACUUUCAUCUGCACAACAUAUUGGAAGUGGCUCGCUCUCCUUUUCUUCUCUGCAUCAUUGAGCUUCUUCUUCACACCCUUGAAAUUCCGAAGAACUGACGUGUACUCCUCAAGUAGUAUCUUCUCUCUGUCAUCCAUGCUGUUUAGGAACAGUUCUCUCCAGUUUGGUUGGUCCUCCUCUAAUCCCGAUUCAUCUUGUUCCAUGUAGAGCCUGUUGUGAACUGUCCUGAACUCUUGAUUCCCUGCAACAACUGUCAUAGGUUAAUUAAUUUAGUUGACAAAGAGAGAGAGUAUUUUUUUUACCAGCUUAAGAGCACAGGAACCUUGAUCUGGGAAUUCAUCCUUGUGUAGGUCUUCUCUCUUACUAUCUUUUAAGACGGAUGGAAGAUUAUCUAAAAUACUUUCCCAUUCUUCUAGCUCGUUAUCGGGGCCAGUGCUUGGAAUAUCUCUCACUUGAACCUUUGCUGAAUGUUUUUCAAGUUGGUUAUGCCAAUUGGAUUGUGGAAAGUCGCCAUCUGUUUUUACUUGAAUGAAAUCAUUGGUUUGCUCCUCUGACUUGAUAUUGUUCCGGAAAUCUAUUUUUCUUAAAGAAUUAUCUGAUUGCUUGCUUUUAUUCAAUUUGGAGAAACUUUCUGUGGCAGAUCCAACGGCUACAUUGACAUCAUGAUCAUCAUCUACCUUCUCUCUACCUUUGUCGUCCAUACCAAAGGUCCCUGAGCCACUGAUGGAUGCUCCUGUACCUUCAUCUUGGUCUGAUUUUUCUGGAGUGGACUUCUGAAGAGUGCUUCCUUGACCUUUCACCUGUAUGUUAUCAUGGUAAUUCUCUGAAUUGGAAGGAUCAUAUUCCAGCUUCUGAAGUAUCUCUGUGUCUUUAAAGAAUAUUGAAUCAUGACGAGGAGGAUUCGUUGUAUGAACAUUUUCCUUGAACCCCCUUCCUGAAAUCUCAUCUUGAGUAGCUCCAGAUGGACUAAUCCGCAAUAGAUCAUUGAAAUAACUUCCUUGGUCGGAAGAGAUUUUCCCCUCUUCGCUUGUAGAAGAAGCACACUUGUCUGCAACAUUGAUUCUGCUUGCUUGAUGUUCAUCAACUCUAACAUCUUUUGAGAUAGCUGAAUCGUUGGAUGAACUCAAAGACUGACUUUUGUCGGAUUCCUCCAUCUCUGCAUGUGGAUCGUCCCUCACUGUAUUGUUCGUAAAGUUAGAAAUGUAAAAAAAAAAAAAAUAGCUUUUUUUUUAACUUUGACAGAACUUAGAAAAUCACCAGUAAUAUCUGCAAUAUCUUUGCUUUACCUGCUAGCUCGUCUGUUCUCUCUUCUCUGAUAGCUGAGAAAUCAUCUGAAAUAUUUAUGCGUUCCCUUUCACGAAAUGCCUUCUCCAUCUUGAUGUCGGCAGCAUUCCUUAUAGGGAGAUCAUACUGGUUAAUCAGAUGGUUGGAUUUCUGAAUAUCUUCUUCUUUACCUUCCGGGGGAAUGUGCGAGCAAUCACUCUUCUCUGCAUUAGCUGUCGUGCCAGCAUGCUCUUCCAUUCUCAUAUCUCUUCUGAUGGCGGAUUCAUUAUCUGAAACAUGUAUAUCACUUUCACCAAAACUCAUUUCCAUCUUAACCUCUGGAGAAUCCCCCAGUGGAGAAUUUUGGGAAGGAUUCAUUGUAUAAUUUUGGUGGUAGGUUUUGUAAAGCUUUUCUUCUUUACCUUCAACAGAAAUGUUCAAAUGAUCAUGCUUGUCCGCAGCAUCUUUUGCCCCGGCUUGCUUUUCCUUCUUCACAUGUCUUUUUGUGGCCAAGUCAUCGUUUGAAACAAGGAAACUUUCACUUCCAACAAAUCCUCUCUCUAUAUUGACAUCUGGAGAAUCCGUUGAUGGCGUGUCCUGGAAAAAAUCAUUCAGGUGAUUCGGAUGGUUGGUUUUAUUAAACUUUUCUUCUUUAUCUUUGAUAGAACUGGGAAAUCGUCCCUUCUGUCUGCAAGAUAGUUUGUGCCCGUUUGCUCGACCUUCCCGACAUUUUUCCUGGUGGCUGAGCCAUAGUCUGUAACAUGCACGUCUUGAUAUUUGCCAAACCCUUUUUCUAUCUCAACUUCUUCUGCAUCCUUUGCAAAACUAGUUUUUGUUAAAUCGUCAUGAUCAUACUGAAGGUCGGAUACGGACAGCUUUUCUGCUUUACCUUUGAUGAGGUUAUCCCAAAUAUCCUGUUUCUUUGCUUCCUCUCCCAUUCUGAUUUGCUUUGAGAUCAUUGCAUCACAACCAGGAGAUGUGACACAUUCACUUUCUUUGGAAGCCUUCUUCUGAUUAACAGGAGCAGAACAGGGAAAAUCAUCACUUCCGUUAGCAAUAUCAUUUGUCCACCUUUGCUCCACAUGCCCGUGUUGACUUCUGUCAAAACCUUUUUCUACUACAUCUGCUGCUUCCUCCAAAGGGCCAUUUUUGGGAAAAUUGUCUUGGCCAUUUUGAAGAUCGGCUUUUGGAAACUUUUCUUCUUUAUCUUCAAAUAGGAUGAGGUUAUCUUGUUUCUUUGCUUGCUGUCCAAUCCCGACUUGCUUUGAGAUCAUUGCAUCAUAAUCAGGAGACUUGACAUUAUAUUCAUUUCCUUUGUAAUAGUUUUGUUGACUGGCAGCAGCAUCUUCAGAUUGAAAACUAUUAUAGGCAUUACCAAAUUUGGAGUCCGUGUACAUGGUAUAUUCAGCUUUUCCAGAAUGAUCUUGAUCUGCACAUAAGUCUGUCUUUAAUUUCUCCCUCACAUGUACACCUUCUGAUGCCACCAAAUGCGGGGUAGUCAUGGUCAUCAUCUCUUUGUCUGUCAACCCUGAUCCCUGGUUAGCUUCUAAAGUGCCACCCGUCUGUCCAUCUCGAGAAUCGUUGCUCAAGUGGCUUCCAACGUGGUUUUGGUGGUCAUCUUCACGACAACCUUCCAGUUGUUGCACGGCUUCUUUCUUCAGAUCUUCCUUACUAUUUACACCUUUGGAGAUACCUAGAACAUUUUCUCCAGGAAUGACUGCUUCAUCAACCUGAAACUGCUUUGCCUUAUCGACACCUGAAACUCCGUGGUUAGCUUCUAAAGUGCCAGCUCUCUUUCCAUCUCGAGUAUAGUUGCUCGAGUGGCUUUCCGCAUAGUUUUGCUGGUCAUCUUCAGGACAACCUUCUGCUUGUUGAAAGCCUUCUUUCUUCAGACCAUCGUUAGUACAAACAUCUUUGGAGAUACCUUGAACAUUCGCUCUGGGAAUGACUGCUUCAUGAACCUGAAACUGCUUUGCCUUAUCGACACCUGAAACUCCAUAGUUAGCUUCUAAAGUGCCAAUCCUCUUUCCAUCUUGAGUAUCGUUGGUCGAGUGGCUUUCCACAUAAUUUUGCUGGUCAUCUUCAAGAUAACCUUCCGGUUGUUGCAAGCCUUCUUUCUUCAGAUGGUCGUUUGUACUAACACCUUUGGAGAUACCUAGAACAUUUCUUUCUGCAAUGAUCGUUUCAUGAACCUGAAACUGCUUUGCCUUAUAAACACUUGAAACACCCUGGUUAGAUUCUAAAGUGACGCCCCUCUGUCCAUCUCGAGUAUCGUUGCUCAAGUAGCUUUUAACAAAGUUUUUCUGGUCAACUUCAAGACAACCCUCCUGUUCUUGCAAGAUUUCUUUCUUCAGACAAUCCUUACUGCUUAUACCUUUGGAGCUACCCAGAACAUUUGCUCCCGGAAUGGUUGCUUCUUGAGCUUGAAAGUGCUCUGCCUUAUCAACACCUGAAACGCCGAAUACUUUAUUGGAUGGCAAAGUAUCUUUGACGUCUUCAUCUUUCCUCUUAUUGUGCAAUUUCUCAGAGAGAUCAUCAAAACUGCAACUUGCUUCAGUAAGAUGAGGUUGGUGGUGAUAGUCUUUGAGAUUCUGAACACUGAGAAGUUCUUCCUCUAGUUGUCUUAUCCUCUUGCUCAUGCUCCCUGAAUCUUCAACCAAAGUCCCCUUCUCCUCCUCGGCUUUGGUCAGAUGUGAAUGAAGUUCAUUUGUCUCUGCUCUUAAUCUAUUUACAUAAGCAUUCUGGGACGAGAGUGCGCUUUCCAAAUAUAUGACUUUAUCAACAAGUUCAUCAACCUUCUCUGCCAAGUCGGACAUGGAAGAAGUGGCAGAAUUAGCUUGCAACUCCUUAACUUUCGAGUGCACUUUCUCUGGAUUAUGCUUCUCUGUUUCAGAAGUUUCCACUUGACGGUUCAGCUUCUUCAAUUCUGAAUCUGGAUUAGAAGACUUAUUUACUUCAUAGAGCACUUGUGGAUGUGGCAGGUGACUGACAAAUUUUCCCUUUAGAGUCUCAAAUUUUCCGAGGACCUUUAAUAUUUUUUGAUGCUCAGCGAUGACAUCUUCCACUGAUUGCUUCUGCUUUUCCUGCAACCGAGCCAAGGUGUCUUGGCAAGAGUUGAGAGCUGUGGCAGUCAUCAAUGUCCGAGCUUCUUCAUCCUCAAUCAUUGUGCCAAUGCCAAACUCAUCUUGCAAGCUGCUAACUUUUGUUUGCAUCUCGGUGACAUGUUCUUCAAUUUCCCAAUACCUCGCUAGCCCAUUUUCGUAUGAGCUCUUGAUAAACUCUUUCUCAGUCUGAAGUCCCAAAAUCUCCUUCUGAACCCUAUCAAUUUCCUGGAGUGCCUCAGACUUUUCCAGACCUGAAGUUGGACGAGCAGCAGCGAUUGCAUCGUCAACAUUGAAUUUGAUCAGUCCCUUCUUUGACAUUAAUCUUGAAGGUUUGGCGUUUCGUUUGGAAAAAGAAGGAACUUUUGGGACACUUAACUUUGGCGCGGCUGGUAAGCUUUUGGGAGGAUCAUUAGAUUCAUUAUGAGGUUCUAUUGCAGCAAGAAAAUGUUCUCCAUCUUCAUCCUCCAUCGACAGUUGAACUCUCUCGGGGUAAACAGUAGCAAUGGUUCGAUUAGCAGUCUGAAGAUCUUUGGAUAAAAGAUCAAAUCUCUCUGCCAAAGCUCUGUAACUCCGGAAAAAAUCUUCUACGAAGUUCAAAAGCUCAGGCCUUCUUCUGUAAUACAUCUCUGCGCGCCUUGCAAAGGAUUCUCCAUCCUCGUCUAUGAUUUUGAGUACAUAUUCAACCUUCUCCUCCAUAUCUGUAAAUAACAAGCAAAAUAAUCGGCUCUUUCUUUUCACUUCAUUUCUUUCUCUUUUGUUUAAGCAUAAGCAUCAUACAUGUCUGAGAACCCUUUGCAUUUAUAAGACAACAGAACAAAAGAAAUAGAUGUAGACUGUGAGUUAUACUGUUACAGUAAAGGGCAGCCCGGUGCACGAAGCAUCCCGCGUUACGCAGGGUCCGGGGAAGGGCCGCACCCCAAGGGGUUGUGAUGUAAGUAGCCUACCCUGAUGCAAGCAUCGGUGGCCGAUUCCACGGCUUGAACCUGUUACCUAUAGGUCACACGGAAACAACUUUACCCUUGCUCCAAGGUUCCCCUUAUGAGUUAUAUUGUUAUUCUGAUCUAAGAAAAUCCUUUGUUAUCAUUCUUUUUCUACUUUCAGUGUUUUCAAGACAAAUAGUAGGAAGCUAGAUUUAUUUAUAUUAGCUAAUUAUGCCUUAGCUGAGGAGUUAAAAAUCAAGGCAUUGUGACUAAGGUCCCAAGUGAGAAAUGCCAAGAUAUCCAACUUUAUCUUUGGUAGUGAGUUUUAAGUUUUGUGCACUAACAUAAUACUUUUACUCCAUCAAGUUAAGUUACCUACAUUAACAAGUACUAACUAUUUGUAACAAAUAUUAUAUGAUAACCCAGAAAAUAACCUGACAUAAUAAGUUAAUUACACUGAUAGUGGGAAAAUCUUGAAACUAUCAGUGUAUGUAAUUUGAACCCUUUGUUAAUACCCAAAUAGGAGGCAACUAUGCAACAACAACCAGUGAGUUCCCACGAAGUCUGGGGAGGGUAAGAUGUACGCAGGGGAAAGUAAGAUGUACGCAGCCUUACCCCUGCCCCGGAAGAUGUACGCAGGGGAAGGUAAGAUGUACGCAGCCUUAACCCUGCCCCGGAAGGAUAGAGAAGCUAUUUUCGAUAGACCCUCAACUAAAGAAAGAAUGAAAAUGUAACCGCAACAGGUAGUAAUAACAACAAGAUAAAACAAGAAAAUCAAAACCAAGAAAGCAAGUAAACAUUAAUUAGUAAUAACAAUCUAAGAAUAAGGAGAUAUCAUACUAACACUAAUGCUAUCGAGAUGAGCAAGACAUACGAAGAACGCCUGAUUGGCUACUAACUUACUACCCUACUCCUCGACCACUACACAUUCUUAUCAAGGAUCAUGUCUUCAGUAAGCUCCAUCUACGCCAUGUUCCACCUAAUCACUUCCCCCAAGACUUCUUUGGCCUACCUCUACCCCUGCUAUAGUAGUUUUAUUAUUUGGUUCAGCAUUCUAGUAUUCUUUCUUUUAUGGCUCAUUGGAACUACAAAAAUUUGCAUUAAACGUUUUGCCUAUACUGUUAAAAAAACACUAGUAAUUCAACAUUCUGUCAUUUUCUUGAUAAAAUAACAUGUUAUAUGGCACAGUUGACGAAUUUGAGUAGUUGAAAAUUCUCUAAAAGGAUUGCAUCAUAAGAAGACAUAGAAUAUAAGGAAGUGACCUUGGAGGUUUUGAUCCAGCCAUUUUGACUGCUUUGUUCUAAUAUGGCUAGCCCACCACCAUGAAUAUGCAUUUCUUGCUGCUCUGUGUAACAUUCUUUCCCUUCUUUUUUUCCCUCACUAUACAACUACUUGCUUUUCUUUAUUGGCCAUAACACAUUGUUUUUCAUCAUCUAACAGAUGAGAUGCUUUUUUCCCCCACUAUACAACUACUUGCUUUUCUUUAUUGGCCAUAACAUUUUUCAUCAUCUAGCAGAUGAGAUGAGAUGAGAUCCAGCAUAUAAAUAAACACAUUUAUGGUUAUUAAGAAUCUGUUUUCUUGAGAGGCAAAAAAAAUAAGGAAUUUUUUUAAGGAGAAUGUACAUGAUGUGUUGAGCAAGAAUGGAAAGAAGAGGUAUUAGAUCUCUAUAGAAACAAUAAGCAGCACAAGUGUAGGAACCCCAUUAACUAACUCAACAAUUGGCAAUUCCUGGAUCUGCCAGCUGAUAUAUAGUUUAACAUAACAUUAUGGCUUGCAUGUCCUUCCCUCUUCUUUUCUUUCUUUAUUUUUUGGUGAGGGAUGCAAUGGUUUGACUUUCUCCUUUUUUUUAAAAAAAUCUUAUUUGUUACCAUUGCGACAUUUGUCGAGGGUCUAUUGGAAAAGUCCCUCUAUCUUCAUAUCUAAAUCAUAUUUGUUAACGUUGGUAUAUUUGUCGAGGAUUUGUUGGAAACAGUUUCUUUAUUUUCAUAAGGUAAGGGUAUGAUCUGUGUAUACUUUAUUCUCCCCGGACGAGAUAUUGGAUAUAUGUUAUUGUUGUACCAUUACAACAUCUGCAUCAUCUUUCUAUUUCUCUUUUUGUAAUGUUGGAGGGGAGAAGAGAAUAUUAUUAUUUCUUUCGUUUAAAAAAGAAUGACAUGAUCUGAAUUCUAAGAUCAAAUGUUCUAAUUUUCGGUCUUAAUUCGGACAUUAAUUUUUUAAUAAUUUUAGAAUAAAAUCUUGGUACAUACAACAAAAAUAAUUACCCAGUAUAGUCCCACAAAGUGGGGUCUGGGGAGGGUAAUAUGCAGACAGGCCUUACCCCUACCCCGAAAGGGUAGAGAGGCUGUUUCCAAUCGACCCCCAGCUCAUUGAAGAAAGGAACAACAAAAACAAAAACAAAAACAAAGAGCAUUAGUAACUUCAACAGAAAUAGCGUAAAUAAUUAUCUAAACAUAAGAACCAUAAAUAAAAUAGCAUGCAAUAAUAUCAUACAACAACAACAAAUAACUACCUAAGAAACUAAAUAAAGUACUAUAAUUACAAUUUUUUUUAUAAUUAAAACUAUGUAAGAAAUAUAUCAAAAGGUUGUGAUACAAUAAAAAAUUAUUUGACCCGCCAAAUAGUCAUAUAAAUAAAAUGAAGCAUUAUAUAAAUUUUUAUGGUUCGGUUUGGAUCGAUUUUUCCCUAAAAAAGAAACCAAACCAAGUAAGUCAAUUUUUUCAAAUAUUAGAACCAAACCAAACCAAUUAAGUCGAUUUUUUCUCGAUUCGGUUUAUGUAGGAUUUUUUCGAUUUUUCGGUUAUUUGUCGAUUUUUUCUUAAAUAUAAGACAUAUACUACCAAACACAUAUUUCGGAUACCACAUUUUCAAUGUAACACUAUCAAAUCAAUUGCUUGUUGUAUAAUCUAUUAUUUACCAAGAUAUAUUGAUGAUAAUUGAAUCAAAUAGUGAUGAAUAAUUUAAGGAUUCAAUUAAAAUUAAAUUAGAUUAGUUUUAACAUAACUUUAUUGCGUUGGAGAUGCUCCUUGAAUAUAACAAGGGAAAAUGUUCCAUUUCUAAUGUUGGUAAAAUAUAGUAUUAUUUUAAACAAGAAAUGAAUUCUUACACUUAACAAAAGAAAACUACCAAUCAAACUAGAAUGUAAAGAUAAAGAACUACAUUAAAAGUGCAAACUAUUAAUAUCUACCAUUAAAUUUUUGAAACUUUGUAUAAAAAUAUACAUAUAUAUAGGUGUAAUAAUAAAUUUGAAAUAGCUACUCCUAUAGUCGAUUUUGGUUAGGUCUUUUGUCGGUUUUUUCUAAUUAAAACCAAAACCAAACCAAAUUUAAUCGGUUUUUAAAUUCAAAACCAAAACCAAACCAAACCAAACCAAAAGU
Molecule: long non-coding RNA, 66440 nt
Filed under: Nicotiana benthamiana
Lineage: Eukaryota; Viridiplantae; Streptophyta; Magnoliopsida; Solanales; Solanaceae
Description: long non-coding RNA (NBEN_LNC009426)
Source: RNAcentral